CAUUCUUAUCACUGCAAUAAAGGCAAGGGUGUUGCUCGUGAAAUCCAAGGCUGGUUAUUUCAUCCCUAACAUUCAUCACAAGCUGUUUAUUGGUUAAUGUACCAUUGGUCUCGUUGAUAAUCUUUUGAAGUGAAUAUGUAAAGGCCCCAUACGCCUUUCCUUGGGUUUUGUCACUCGGUUCCAAAUCAAGGGAUAGCUCAUCGGCUUGGCACCUACUUAAUAGAAUCCCCUCAUCCUCCGUUAAUGACCUUGGCUCCUGAGAGGGUCGGAAUUUUAAACUGACGUUGUCUCAAAAGAUUCCGGUCAAAAGAUGGCCAAUGUUGCUGACAAUAUCUAAUCCAGUAGUGCUGAAGGCAACUGUUGUGCCCAAUACGUCUGAUGCGGCGUUUAUGACGUUGGCUGCUGUUUGUAGGCCUUGGUGUAUUGAUUCAAGUGAAAUUCCCCUCUUCCGGGCGUCAACCGAUGGUGCUAUACCCCUUAGAGUACUAUGGGGUCCAAUUUGUUCUUUCUCUUUGUCGAUGAGACCACCGCUGUGGCACGAAUCUGAAACGAUUGUGAAGCUUGUUUCUUUUGGCAGCUGCUCAAUCAAGUGCCUGAUGUCCACGUCUGCACAGCCAUGUAUAUUUAUAAAAAAAUGAUAUGAUUAAUAAAGGAAAAUAUGUAGUUGACGAGUUGUGAUCCCAUUUUGGAAUCAUGAUCAACAUUAAUAUUUUAAAAAAAAAAAUUAAUUAUUAUUUUUUAAGAUUUAAAGUUAGAUUUAUAUUUUGACAUUUAAGGUUGAAUUUUUGAUUUGUUGAAUUUGAGUUUUGGAAAUUACGAAAUUGCGGGUUAAAACCCUACUAUGUACUAUAUUUCUAUUUUUUUAUUCAUAAAAAGAAUAAAAAUGACAAAAAAUUUCUUUAAAUUAAUUUAAUUUACUUUAUAAAAUAAAAUUAUUGUCCAAAUUCCACUAUAAGACACCAUUAAUUAGGAAGAAUAAAAAACCUACCAUAAAUGAGAUUGAGAUCACAAGGAACGAUCGCAUCAUCCUUCCGACCUGGUUUCAUGUCUGCCUCAACUCCAUGUCCACUGAAGUGGAAUAAUAGGACAUCUCCUUCUUUAGCCUCUUUCACCAUUUCUUCAAGUCCAGCCAUAAUGUUUGCACGUGUAGUUUUUUUUGGGGACCCUGGUUCAUCAGUUAUGAGCUCAACAUGUUGAGGAUCAAAGUUAAACCUUUUCAAAAUCACGUCUCUCAUGGCAUGCACAUCAUUUAUGAAUCCUUUCAACUCGUAGGGGGUGUUGGGGUAGUUGCAUCCCACCAGAAGAGCUGUCUUCAUUCUGUCUUUGAGUUUGCUUGUCUUCUGAUUUGGAUGUUGCAGGAAGAACCCAUAUAUAUACACACACACAAACAAGUUUACGUUAUACCAUGCAAUGCCAUAUAACUCAUAAGCUCACGACAAGAUGGCACCUACGAUAUUUUUAUUUCAAAAUUUAUGGUUGUUAUUUUUUUAGUUAAAUUUGAUCAUUAAUCUUUUAAUUAUUUUUUAAUAGAAAUGUUUGACUAGAAUAUUAAUUUUUUAACGAUGUUGGCAUGACAAUUCGUGUGGUAGUCCACAUGUACUUCAUGCUGACAUAAUAUUAUUUGUCAUAUAUGCCACAAUAAUAAAUAAUUUAAAAUUUAUGAAAAAAUAUUAAAAAAUGUUUUUAUAAAUUUAAAAGAAUAGCAUGAAGUACACAUGGAUUACCAUGGGGGUUGCCAUGCUGAAAUAUAAUGUUUUAGUUAGUAUUUUUAUUAAAAACAUCAAUUCGACUUUUUUUAAUGGACUUGUCCAUGGGUUGGGGCUUGACCAAAUUUUAGGCCCAUUUGAUAAGUUCGGUCUUGACCCGGCACGAAAAAUGGGCCGAAAAUUUUACCCAAGCUCGACCUGAAUAAAAAUGCUAAAACCCGAGCCUAGCCCAGCCUGCCCAUAUUAAAAUUUUUACAUUAUUUUUAAAAAAAUAUAUAAAACACUAAAAACAUUCAAAUAAAUGUUUCCCAACAACUUGAAAAUAAAUUUUAAAAAAUCUUUAUACUUAAAUAACACUAACAUAGGUGCAACUUAACAAGUAAAUGCCACUAAAAUAAUAACAUAAUUAACAAUAAAAUAAGACUUAUAUAAUAUCCAAAUAAUAAUAGCAAAAAAAUAGUAACAUAAUAAUGAAAUGGCAGGAAAACAGUGAAAAAACAACAUUUUUUUUCUUUUUCUAAAUUCGAGUCGGGCUGGAAAAAAAAACCUUACUUGAGGCCCUUAUCCAAACCUAUUUUUCGUGUCUAUAUUUUUGUUCAAGCCUUUUUACUUUUUGAGAGUCCAGCCUAUUUCAUGGGCAUGUCUAUUUUUAAAAGAUAGAUAAUUAAAUUUGAUUUUUUAAAAAGAUUAAAAGACGAAAUUUAACUAAAAGGGACCAAAUCAAUUUAUUAUAUAAUAAUUGCCUAUUUUUAUUUGUUUCUUUUGGUGUUCAAGAAUAAUACAUAUUAUACAUAUACAUGGAUAGAGCAAAUCAAGUGCACCAUUCAAAAAAUUGGGUUUAUAUGUACUAUUAGUUAAUUAGUUGACUAACUUCAAUAAAAAAUAAAAUUAUUUGGUCCAUAAAAAAAAUGUAUUUUUUACAAUUAGAAGUUACAAUAUUAACGAAACAUUAAUACAUUCAUGCUUUACUCAAUAAUUAAUUAAAAUAUUAAAUUAAUAAUCAAAAUAUAUCUAAAUUCGUAAUACAAUGUUUCAUACAAUAAUUACUCAAUCACUAUAUUGCAUUGUUUAAUUGUCGAAACAAGUUAUAACUUCCAUUGUAACAACUCAAAAGAAUAAUUACAAACCAAUGUAUUUUUAGACUUAAAUGUAGAACUAAGGCUUAGUUUAGAUGAGCGGUGCAUUUACCUAUGAUUAGUGUAAAAAUAACGGUGGUGGUGAGAUUAGAUAUUGUAACGACACUGUAAUUUGAGACAAAGAUAAAUUAAACGCACUGUACUAUACCAAACCAUCCAUCUAAACCUCACCUAAAAGUUGCUAAAGUUUCCUUCCUACCAUUAAACCAAUGUAUCAUCAACUAUUUGUACUUAUUUUUAAACACUUUUUAUUGGAGUUGCAUGAAAUGCUUGAUUGACUACGUGUAAAUUUAUACACAAAAAACCAAUAAUUUGAAAAGCUUUCCAUAGUACAAUUUUGAUAUAUUUGGCAUUUAAUAAGAAAUCAACAUAUGGAGUGGGUGAUGAAUCCGAAUUGGGGUGAGCACAGGUGUUGUGAUGGACAAAGCGUAAGACAAGGUGGUUCCCGAAAGAAGCAAGAAAGCUCUGACAAAAGGCAGCUAGGUAUUCCUUUUUCAGACAAAGAAGACAAAAGAUAGAACAUAAAGGGUGGUGGUCGAAGAUAAAUGAUUAUAACAGCACUGAUAUGAUCUGCUUCGCCUUCGUCUACCACCUCAUCUUUAUGUUUUUAUCUUGGUCGUGACUCACGUUGGCCUUCGUCUGCAAGUGCUGUCGGUCCUACUAUUGUGCUUGUGUUGCCUAGCUUCUGAUUUCUAUGUAUUAGGGUAUAUUUGAGUCGGGUGAAGUUAGAAAAAUAUUUUUAAGGAUUGAAGUUAAAUUAUAUAUUUUUAUAAGAGUUAAAAUGUAAUUUUAUAAUUAUAUUAGUUUAUAUUUUUAUAGUUUUUAGAGGUCUUAAAUCAAAAUUUUAUCAUUUUUUUGGAUAAAUUGUGUUUUUACAAUGUUUAACUUAUAAUUUUAUAGAUUUUAGAAAGGCCCAAAUAACAAUUUUCUAUUUUAGGGGUCUAAAAAGUAAUUUUCAUUUUAAGGGGGCCACUCCCCUUGCUUGCACCAGUCACCGCCUUAACGACAAGAUUAAUUCUAGUGAGAUUGAAAAUAGAUAUGACAGUGAGAUUAAUUAUUAUGGUGAUGAGAUUAAAAUCACUGGCGAGAUAUGUGUUAGGAUUUAAAUAUAUAGACUGUAGAUUUAUAGGAAGAAAGCAAAAUGACCAUUAUGGACAUUAAACUAAAAUUAAAAUAUAGUUUACACCCUUCCAUAUAUUUUUGUACAAUUAAUAUUUUCACAAUAAAAACAUUAUAUUUCAUAUUUCAUUUAUAUAAAUCAUGCAUGUCAAAUUUAACAUAAAUUAAAAAUUUCUAACUGUUUGUUUUAUGUAAAAAUACUUUUAACUGUUUAAUAAAUGUUAAUAUAUACAAUAUUUUAGAUGAAUAAGAUAGAAAUAUCAAAUCAAUUUGAAAAAUUGCAUGCAUGAAUCAUACAAUAAUAUCAAUAAAUUCAAUGGUUGAAUUGUUAAAUUAAUAAUCAUAUAAAAAUAUAUGGAAGCGUGUAAAAUUACUUUAGUUUCAUACUAGUGUAAGCGGAUCUCUCCCAUUUUAAUAUAUAAAGUUAAUUGUAUAAUUUAAAAUUAUGUAACUAAUAUUAUUUAUAAAUAUUAUAAGUAUAAAUAUAUUUCUUUAUACGCCUAAAAAAUGUAAAGAAAAUCCACAAUCAAGCUAUUUGUUGAGGGGAGGUCGGACUCUCUGUUGGGAGAAGUCUUCUAAGUGUCAUCUAUUUGGGAGUUGAUGGACCCCUCAAUAAGAGGUAUUGUUCUCGUGUCGGGGUUUUUUCCUUGGCCUCCACAAAAAGCAGCUAUACGAUUCUCUAAGGGGGGCUCGGUUGGUGGAGAGAGGUAUAAUGGCUCUUUGUAGAGGUUGAGGAAAAAACCUUGACACGAGGACAAUACCUUCUGUUGAGGAUUCUGUUGGCUCUCAAGGGGGCAAUACUUCGAAGAAUUCUUCUAAGAGAAAAUCUAACUUCCCCUCAACACUAUUCACACACCCUUAUCCCAAACCAACAACCAAAUAUCACUACAACCACAAUCAAUCAUACAAAAAUGCCAAAUAAUAACAAAUAAAAGCAGGAAGAAAGUCUCCUAUGUUAGCAUACUCAAAUAGGACUUAUGGAAUCAAAGAAAAGAGAAUGAAAAUAUAUAAAAAAAAUGAGACAUAAACGUACUAGAUUCAGUUAGGAGUUAAUCGGAGAGUUUUGGGUGUGGAGGCUCAAACAAAAGGUCAAGGAGAAAGUUUUAUUGAGAAGAUGAACAUAUUGGACUCAAGUGACCAUCUGAUGAUGGCAGACAAAGAUCAAAUAGCUUCCUUGUUAGAGUUUUGAGUUUGAAUCAACGAAGUUUUAGGCCAUUUUAAGGAAAAUUAAAUCAUAAAGUUGAAAGAGGAAGGAUAGGGCUAUACUUUUAUGUGUUUCUUUGCUGAAGGUGGAGGUUGGACAAUGGUGAGAUUACUGGAAUACAAUAGUGAAAGAGGUUCCUAAAACCCUAAAACUUUUGAAUAGUUUAGUGACCAGCUUAUAACUUUUCUGAAAUUGAGUGACCGGAGUGCAAACUUAUUAAUAUUUAAGUGACCUUGGGUGUAGUUUACCCUAUGAUGAAUAGUGAGUUAACGAUCAUGCCAGACAUCCACUAGAAACCUAAUGGUCCAAUGAUUUAAAUGAUAGAUUUUGAAUAGUUAAAUGACUAAUUUGUAACUUUUUAAAUUACUAAUAGCCGAGUAACCUUGAAUGUAAUUUACCCUCUCUUGUUUGACUUAAAAAAUCAAAUACAAGAUGGACUUUUCCACAAUAGGCUGACAUCAACAAUGUGGAAAUAGCACGGUCCAUACCUAUAAUAGUUGAUAUCAAAGGAAGAAGAAUUCAAUGACUAAAUGACAUGAAUAUAAUGUAGAAAAAGUUAUGGAAGAAAGAGUCCACGAACCCCUUUCUUUUUUGCCUCUAGAUUUUUAAGUUUGUGAAGAAAAACUAGUGAUAUUCUUUUUGUCCCUAUAUCUAGUAAACUACCCAUAAAAAUUAUCUCUGGAGUAGAAAUGGAUGACUUAGGGAAAAUUAAACAAAAGUAAUAAUUUUUUGGGAUAAAUUUUAAAAUUAUAUAAAUAUUUAUUCAAUGUGUAAUUUAAUACAUAAAUUUUAAUUUUAUGUAAUUAUAUAUAUAACCCCUUGUAAAAUGGGAAUCCAGAUGAAUUAACAAAUUCAUUUUAGGGGCUGGAAGGGCCCUAACCCUUAUUAAAAUGAGAAAUUUCGUUUUUAGUCUUUUAAAAUUUAUUUUUAAGUUAGUACAUGGUAAAAUUUUACUUUAGCUCUUAAAAAACGAUAAAAUUUUGAUUUAAUCGUUUAAAAAUUAAAAAAAGAUAUAAACUAUUAAAAUGAUAAGAUUUCAUUUUAACUCUCAUAAAGAAUAUAUAAUUUAAUUAUGACUUUUCGAAAAAAUAAAUUUUUGACUUCACCCUUAUUCGAACUUUAAAAAUUACUCGAAAAAAAAGGUUUUGCUGACUAAGGCAACAAAACAAAGGGAAACGAGAUUCACGAGGGGGUGAAGACGAAAUUCAAAACCAAAGUGAUACGAGCCAAGGAGGUGACAUUCAAAGGGUUGUUUUUCCUAGUGGUCCAAUCACUCGAAGCAAGACACGACAAUUAAAAUCAAAGAUGAAUGCUUUUGUCCAAGACUUUGUUGCUACAAAUUUAAUUCAUCAUGUUCGUGACGUUGACAAAUAUGGGAAUGCAAUUCACUGGACCAAUCUUGGAAUAGUGAAAGCCCAUAAAUUGGUGGAUUAAUCUUUUAUGUAUAUUAUUAUUAUUUACUUAAUUCUCAUUGGUUGGGACACAUCACUUAUGAGUUAAGUAAUUUUAUUGAUUAGGUUAUUAUUUAUUUAUUUUCCUAGAUAAUUUUAAAGAGUUUUAUUAGGAUUCAAUUACUCUUGAAAGAGUUUUAUUAGGAUUCAAUUACUCUUGUAAUUUGCCUAUAAAUAGGCUUGCUUUCUACACAUUGGAGGGGGAAUAAAAAGAAGAGUAUUUUGUUUUCUUCGAAAUUUGUGUGAGGCAAAUUUUUGAGAGUAGAGUAAUUCUUCUCUUGCUAUUUAGUUUGGAGUUUGUUACUUUCGAGGGUAUUUCGGAGUUACAAAUAUUCAAAUUUCUUUCCCGUUCAUCGGUGUUUCUAGAGGUUCUUCUUCUAGGGGUUUCGUAGGGAGCCGCUCAAUCAUUGGCGUUUUUGGUUACAAGUUAACCAAGGGUUCAAUAGGGCAAAUCUAUCCUUUUUAUUUAUUUAUUUAUUAUUAUUUAACUAAUUUUAUUUAUUCUCGUUUUAUUUCUAAUUUAUGUUUCUCUUGUGUCUAGAUCCGGGUUUCCGAAUCAAUUGGUAUCAGUUUCAGGCCAUUCGGUGUUAUUUUUGAAGCUAAAAUCAAAUCCGAAGCGAGUCAAAAUACCAAAAACACUUUUCAUCGGUUUCGUCGAUUCUCUUUUUUUUUGAAGUUUGUGUUUAUUCUCCUCUUAUUCUUUAAAAAAAAACCAAAAAAAGCAAAAAGUGCAAAAAAAAAAAGCAAAAAAAAGUUGCCUACCUUUCAUACGUAGGUUUCUUGUUUUCCUAUUAUUGUUAUUAAUUUUAUUUUUAUUUUUCCCAAAAUUGAAUUUCUUUUCCUUUUUCUUUUCUUGACUCAAGUAUAAUUAAAGCUUCAAUUUUUUAAAAUCUUAAGACACCAAACAUUUCCGAUUUUUGUUUUUUUUAAAAUUUGGGUAGAGUUUUCUUAAGUUUUUUUCUUAUUAAAGCUUUUCUUUGACUCUAGAGUUAGGGAUCGUUGCAGGUCUACGUUUUUUUUUGUUUCUCAUACGCUUUCUAACACUUUGUUUCUUCUUGUGUUAGCAGAUAUUAAAGGCACGCACAAUUCCUUCAUCCGUGUAGCCUCCAUUACAAAUUGCCUUAUCAAGUUUAUUGGCCUCUUAGAGCAAUUAGGGUCUUCAUUGUUUCUUGAAGUUUGCACCUCCGUUAUUUAAUCUUGAUUAGUAACCCUCUCCAAACUUAUUUACAAGUUUUGAAUCAUUCAGAGAGUUAUUCUUUUGAGAGCUAACGAGUGAGGUUAUUAUUAUUUUUUCUUUCUUGUUCCUGUUUGUUUGAUCUUUCACAGAUACCAUGCCUCUCACUAGAUCCCAAACUAGUAAAAAUGAAGAGGAUGAGCAAAAAAGAAAGAACGAUCCUUUGGUCGAGUUGUUACAAAAAGAGAUGAAAAAGUUGCAAACUCAAUUCGAACAUUGCGUGACCCAGAUGUUACAAGAGCAAAUGGAGUAUCUUGAUACAAAACUUACAACUCAAGAGAGAUACAUUGCCGAUAAUUACAAGAAGUUGAACGAAUCCUUUAUAAGCCGAUCAAAUUCGUGAGAUCGAACUUUUAAACGAAGGGAGGACCAUGUUUUUGAUGAUGACUUUGAGUCCGAGUAUGUACCUAGAGAAAGGUUGGAACGAAACAAUGACACCCCCAAACCAAAAUUUCCUUCUUUCUCAGGGAAGAAUGAUCCUGAUGCUUACCUUGAUUGGGAGGAAAAGAUGGAAGUAGUCUUUGCUUGUUACAAUUACUCUGAUGAGAAAAAGGUAACAUACGCUGUCGCUGAGUUCAUUGAUUAUGCACUAACAUGGUGGAAUCAAUUAUGUAAAAGCAGGAUUCUUUAUAGAGAGCAACCUGUUACUACUUGGGUUAAAAUGAAGCGCAUCUUGCGAAAACGGUUUGUUCCACCAUACUAUUAUCGAGAACUCCAUCAAAGACUCCAACAUCUUGUUCAAGGAGAUAGAUCUGUGGAUGACUACUACAAAGAGAUGGAGACUAUUCAGAUUAGAGUCAAUCUUGUUGAAGAAGCUGAGAUGACUAUGGCUAGAUUCCUUGCCGGCCUAAAGCUUGAGAUUGCAAAUCGAGUUGAGUUACAACACUACAUAGAUGUUGAAGAGAUGCUUCAAACCGCACUCACCAUUGAAAAUCAAUUACGAAAGAAAGGGACAACGAGGGGUGCUAGUUCAAUUUCUAAUCCUGCUUGGAGAGGAAAUUGGCAAAAACAAGAUGAUAGAUUGUGGAAUAGGAGAGAUGCACGGUUCAAGCCAAAUGAGCCUAGAACUUACUCUAAAGAUAGAGGUAUGCCUAAUUCAUUUAAAGGUUCUACUUCUACUAAUCGAGCUUCAUCUUCUUCUUCUACUUCUCCUAGUGCUAUUAAGCAGCCAAAAGAUAUUACCUGCUUCAAAUGCCAAGGAAGGGGUCACUAUGCUCAAGAAUGCCCUAAUAAAAAGUAAUUGGUGAUUCGAGAAGAUGGCGGGGUUGAUUUUGAGUCUGAUAACGAAGAUGAGAUGCCUCCUUUGGAAGAUGCUGAUGAUGUGCAUACUCAUGAUGAGUAUGAAGAAUACUUGGAGUAUGGUGAGAAAGCACUUGUUGCUCGAAGGGCUUUAAAUGUCCAAUUUAAAGAGGAAGGGCGCGAACAAAGAGAUAACAUUUUCCACACGAGAUGUUUGAUUGGUGGACAACCUAGUUCAUUGAUCAUCGAUAGUGGAAGUUGCACCAAUGUGGUAAGUUCUUCCCUUGUUGAGAAACUUGGCCUACCUUGUGUGAAGCAUCCAAGGCCAUACCGCUUGCAAUGGCUGAAUGAUAGUGGGGAGGUAAAAGUAUCUAAACAAUGCUUAGUUUCAUUUUCCAUUAGUAGAUACUCUGAUAAAGUUUUGUGUGAUGUUGUUCCAAUGCAAGCUGGGCACAUAUUACUUAGACGGCCAUGGCAGUUUGAUCGACAAGUAAAUCAUGAUGGUUUCCUUAACCAAUAUACCUUUGUGUUCCUUGGAAAGAAGUUUACUUUGGCUCUAUUUCCUCCUCAAGAAGUCUACAAUUUUGAACUCAAACUUGCUAGUGAGAUGGGUAAGGGAAGUGAGGUAAAAUCAUUAAAAAAGGCUGAGAGUAAAGAGGCCCUUAGUGUUAAAAGCCAACUUAAAGGCCCAACAUUGGUGAGUGAUUGCACACACAAGUCACGAGAUGAGAAAGUGAGUUUAUUCGCUAGGUUUCGAGAUAUCAAAUUUGCUCUUUGUACAAAACAAACAUUUGUAAUUAUUAGGUUUAGGGAAAAAUUUGUUUUGACUAACCCUAAUACACAUUUGCCUAGUUGUUUUGUUGAUCUUUUGCAGGAUUUUAAGGAUGUAUUUCCUUCUGAAAUGCCUAAGAGAUUACCUCCUUUACGAGGGAUUGAACAUCAAAUUGACUUUGUGCCUGGUUCGAGUAUUCUGAAUAAACCAGUCUAUCGAAGCAAUCCUGAAGAAACUAAGGAGUUGCAAAGGCAAGUUAAAGAUCUCUUAGAGAAAGGGUUGAUUCGUGAGAGUCUAAGCCCUUGUACGGUUCCUGUACUUCUCGUCCCAAAAAAGAUGGUUCUUGGAGAAUGUGUGUUGAUUGUCGUGCUGUCAACAAGAUUACGGUAAAGUAUCGAUAUCCAAUUCCUUGAUUAGAUGAUAUGUUGGAUGAGCUUAAUGGUGCAUGCAUUUUCUCUAAAAUUGACUUAAAAAGUGGUUACCAUCAAAUAAGAAUGAAACAAUGUGAUGAAUGGAAAACUAAUUUUAAGACUAAGUAUGGCCUGUAUGAGUGGUUAGUCAUGCCAUUUGGCUUAACUAAUGCUCCUAGCACAUUCAUGAGAUUAAUGAACCACAUACUUAGACCUUUUUUAGGAAAAUUUGUCGUUGUGUAUUUUGAUGACAUACUGAUUUAUAGCAAAACUUUGAAUGAUCAUGUUGGGCAUGUUAAAUUAGUAUUGGAUGUGUUAAGGCAUGAACGACUCUUUGCUAAUCUUGAAAAAUGCACCUUUUGUAUGGAUAAGCUUGUUUUUUUGGGUUUUGUGAUAAGUUCUACAGGAAUCCAUGUGGAUGAGGAGAAGGUAAAGGCAAUUAAAGAAUGGCCUAUCCCUAAAACUGUUUCUGAGGUAAGGUCUUUCCUUGGGUUAGCCGGUUUCUACCGCAGGUUUGUUCGUAACUUUUCCACAAUUUCUUCGCCUUUGACUGCACUUAUUAAAAAGGAUGUAUCUUUUCAUUUGACAGAUAAGCAAGAAUUAACAUUUAAUGAACUUAAAGAUAAAUUGUGUAAUGCUCCUAUUCUUUUUUUACCUAAUUUUGAAAAGACCUUUGAGAUUGAAUGUGAUGCUUCUGGUGUAGGUAUAGGUGCCGUCCUCAUGCAAGAUAGUAAACCACUAGCCUACUUUAGUUAGAAACUUGGUGGAGCACAUUUGAACUAUUCGACCUAUGAUAAAGAGUUGUAUGCCUUGGUAAGGGAAUUAGAAGUUUGGCAACAUUACCUUUUACCAAAGGAGUUUGUGAUUCACACUGACCAUGAAUCACUUAAGCACUUAAAAUGACAAGGUAGGUUGAACAAGAGACAUGCGAGGUCGGUUGAAUUCAUUGAAUCUUUUCCUUAUGUUAUAAGGUAUAAGAAAUGUAAAGAUAAUAUUGUGGCUGAUGUUUUAUUAAGGAGGUGCACUUUACUUAGUACUUUGCAUACUAAGUUAUUAGGUUUUGAGUAUCUCAAAGAUUUAUAUGCUACUGAUUCUGAUUUUACAAGCAUUUAUGACGCAUGUGAACAUGGUGCAUUUCAAAAAUUUUAUAAGCAUAAUGGCUAUCUUUUUCGAAAUAAUAGACUAUGCUUACCAAAGUGUUCAAUGCGAGAAUUGUUGGUUCGAGAGGCUCAUAGUGGUGGUCUUAUGGGUCAUUUUGGAGUCAUUAAGACUUAUGAUGUUUUACAUGAGCAUUUUUAUUGGCCUAACAUGAGAAAACUUGUUGAGAAAAUUUGCUCUACUUGCAUUACUUGUAAACAAGCUAAAUCCACUGUGAUGCCUCAUGGUCUAUAUACUCCUCUUCCUGUUCCUAGUUCACCUUGGACUGACAUUUCAAUAGAUUUUGUAAUAGGUUUACCAGGGACAAAGCGUGGAUGAGAUAGCAUCUUUGUGGUUGUGGAUUGAUUUUCUAAAAUGGCUCAUUUCAUUCCAUGCCAUAAGACUGAUGAUGUAACCCAUGUUGCCGAUCUAUUUUUCCGUGAAGUUGUGAGAUUACAUAGAAUCCCAAGGACUACCGUUUCUGAUAGAGAUGCAAAAUUUCUUAGUCACUUUUGGAAGGUGUUAUGGGGUAAGUUAGGUACUAAACUACUUUACUCUACUACAUGCCACCCUCAAACUGAUGGUUAAACCGAGGUGGUAAAUCAAGUUUUGGGAUCUUUGCUUAGAGCCAUAAUAGGUAAGAAUGUUAAAUCUUGGGAAGAAUGGAUACCCUAUGUUGAGUUUGCUUAUAAUCGUUCUGUUCAUUCUUCCACAAGUUUUACUCCUUUUGAGAUUGUAUAUGGCUUUAAUCCACUUACUGUUUUAGAUUUGUUUCCUUUACCUUUGAAUGAGAUUGCUAAUUUAGAUGGUGAAAGGAAAGCUGAUUUAGUGAAAGAGAUCCAUGAGAAGGCUCGUAAAGCCAUUGAGAAAAAGAAUGAGUCCAAUGCACAUCGAGCUAAUAAAGGGCGGAAGCAAGUCUUGUUUGAACCUGGAGAUUGGGUAUGGGUGCAUAUGAGGAAGGAACGAUUUCCUUCUAAGAGAAAGAAUAAACUUGAUGCACAAGGAGAUGGACCAUUCCAAGUACUCGAGAAAAUAAAUGACAAUGCUUAUCGCAUUGAUCUUCCUGGUGAGUAUAGUGUUAGUGCUACUUUCAAUGUUUCUGAUCUUUCUCCUUUUGAAUUUGAUGUAGGUUCAGAUUCGAGGACGAAUCUUCUUGAAGAGGGGGAGAAUGAUAGGAGCCAAGGAGGUGACAUUCAAAGGGUUGUUUUUCCUAGUGGUCCAAUCACUCGAAGCAAGGCACGACAAUUAAAAUCAAAGAUGAAUGCUUUUGUCCAAGACUUUGUUGCUACAAAUUUAAUUCAUCAUGUUCGUGACGUUGACAAAUACGGGAAUGCAAUUCACUGGACCAAUCUUGGAAUAGUGAAAGCCCAUAAAUUGGUGGAUUAAUCUUUUAUGUAUAUUAUUAUUAUUUACUUAAUUCUCAUUGGUUGGGACACAUCACUUAUGAGUUAAGUAAUUUUAUUGGUUAGGUUAUUAUUUAUUUAUUUUCCUAGAUAAUUUUAAAGAGUUUUAUUAGGAUUCAAUUACUCUUGAAAGAGUUUUAUUAGGAUUCAAUUACUCUUGUAAUUUGCCUAUAAAUAGGCUUGCUUUCUACACAUUGGAGGGGGGAAUAAAAAGAAGAGUAUUUUGUUUUCUUCGAAAUUUGUGUGAGGCAAAUUUUUGAGAGUAGAGUGAUUCUUCUCUUGCUAUUUAGUUUGGAGUUUGUUACUUUUGAGGGUGUUUCGGAGUUACAAAUAUUCAAAUUUCUUUCCCGUUCAUCGGUGUUUCUAAAGGUUCUUCUUCUAGGGGUUUCGUAGGGAGCCGCUCAAUCAUUGGCGUUUUUGGUUACAAGUUAACCAAGGGUUCAAUAGGGCAAAUCUAUCCUUUUUAUUUAUUUAUUUAUUUAUUAUUUAACUAAUUUUAUUUAUUCUCGUUUUAUUUCUAAUUUGUGUUUCUCUUGUGUCUAGAUCCGGGUUUCCGCAUCACAAAGGGAUAAUCAAAGGAGAAAAGUCGUAUAAAAUAUAUGUGGUAGCAGGGAAGAGAUGCUAAGGGAUUAGAUAUUUAUAAUAUUAAUUUAUAUUUUGUUAUUCAAUAUAUAUUUAAUUCUUUUCACUAUUUAUUGUUAUACAAAUAUUAGAUUUAUUUAAAAAUUAUGCUAUUUGUUUGUUGAAUUAAUCGUAUUUUUAGGCCGGAGCAAUAAACCUAUUUGAAGUGGUUCAUAUUGUCCUAGAAAAACCCAUGUACGAACAAUGAUUAAUUUUACUUUCCCACCUAACUACUCUUGGCUGGGAUAGGUCUUGGUGGAGAAGUUAUAGACACAUUUUCAUACUUUGUAUCUGGAAUACUUUACUUAAUUUCUUUUGAUGUAUUGAGUUUUGGUAGUAUUUAUCAUGCACUUUGGGACCUGAAACUUUUGAAGAAUCUUUUUCAUUUUUCGGUUAUAUAUGGAAAUGUAGAAAUAAAAUGACCAUAAUUUUGGGUAUUCACUUCAGUUUGCUUCGUAUAGGUACUUUCCUUCUAGUAUAUGAUAUUUGGGCUCGGUUCAACAUAUUGAUACUAAAUAUAAAUCUAACAUAAACCUAGUGGCCCAUGAAUGCUUUACAUGCUAAUAAAAUCAACUAAUAUUUUAUAAAUACUAUUAAACAUUUUCAGUUAAUAUAAAUGUUGAUCAAAUAACAUAAAAAUUCAUGUACAUUUUUUUACAUAAAUUUAGAAUCUUUUAUCCACUAUCUUAAAUCUAUUGACAUCGACAUUGUUUCUAGUGCAGGAGAAUGUGGAUUCGAGUACACUGAGACAUAUCCUCUUAUUUGAAAGUUAGGGAGAAAUUAUAGAUAAUUCUAAACAUUAUUUCAAAUUUUAUUAUAUUGGAUGAAUGGUUAUUUUAGAUCACAAGCUAAAUUUUGGGUUUUAUUUAGUAUGAGCUUUGUUAAUAAACUUAUUUAGGAACCUGAGCCAAAUGUAUAAUAUAUGGAUAUAGGUUGUAGUAUUUUUUUCGUAUUUAAAUGAUAAUUUUCGUUGUAGAAUCACCUUUGGUGAUUAUUGUGAUGUGGAUUUCAUAAUUAAUAUUGCACGUGAAAUUUAAGGUUUUCCAAAAACCUUAAUUGUUUUUGAAGACUUUUGUUAUUAUACCCCGAUCCAUAUGACAUCCAUCACCGUCAAAUGACAAAAAGUAAUUUAAUGCACAUGAAUUGUGCCUCUACUGGGGUAGUAGGUCUUGGCGGAGAAGUUAUAGACACAUUUUCAUACUUUGUAUCUGGAAUACUUCACCUAAUUUCCUCUGCUAUAUUGAAUUUUGGCGGUAUUUAUCAUGCGUUUUGAGAUCUGAAACUCUUAAAGAAUCUUUUUCAUUUUUCGGUUAUGUAUGGAAAGAUAAAAAUAAAAUGACCAUAAUUUUGGGUAUUAACUUCAUUUUGCUUGGUAUAGGUGCUUUUCUUCUAGUAUACGAUAGCUGAGCUCGGUUCAAUUUUAAAUAAAAUAAUCUAAUAUUUCGAAUUAAACCAAACUUAAACAAACGUAUUGAUAUUAAAUAUAAACCUACCGGCCCAUGAAUGCUUUACAUACUAAUAAAAUCAACUAAUAUUUUAUAAAUACUAUUAAAUAUUUUCAGUUAAUAUAAAUAUUGAUCAAAUAACAUAAAAAUUCAUGUACAUUCGUUACAUAAAGUUAGAAUCUUUUGUCCACUGUCUUAAAUCUAUUGAUAUCAGUAUUGUUACUAGUGCAGGAAAAUAUGGGUUCGAGUACACUGAGACAUAUUAUCCUCUUAUUUAAAGGUUAGAGAGAUUAUAAGUAAUUCUAAGCAUUAUUUCAAAUUUUAUUAUAUGGGAUGAAUGGUUAUCUUAGAUCACAAGCUAAAUUUUGGGUUUUAUUUACUAUGAGCUUUGCUAAUAAACUUAUUGCAUUAAUAUUGGGCUAUUUGGUUUAUAAGACUCUUCGACCUCUUUUUUUUUAGAAUAAAAACAAAUUGAGCUCAUUUUUUUUAAUUUCAAGUAUAUUUAUAUAAUAUUAAAUAUAUAAAUAUGUUUUAUUAUUUUGUUAUUAAAUAUUACAAAAAAUUACAAAUAAAUCAACAAAUUACAGAAAAAAAAACUCCUAAGUUUUACAGAUUUUAUGAUUUGAUCCUUAUGUUCUGAAAUAUUAACUGUUUAGGUGAUGAAUGAAUAUUUGUUACACGUUUUAAGCCUUUAUUUAUUAAAUUUGCUUUAUUUCUAUGGAUUUUUAAUUAAAUUUGAGGACAAGGCAUAAUGUUAAAUUUAGUUCUUAACAUUUAUAUAUUUUAUCCAUUUGGCCUUAAUUAUUUUUUUGAGAUAAAUUUUGGCCUUCAACCUUUUAGAAAAGAGUUAAAAUGAUGUUUUUUAAUGAGAAUACUAAUUAAAAUGUCAAAAAUUUAAACACGAUAGCCUACAUGACAAUCCCCGUGCACUCUGAGUUAUUUCUUUUGAAAUUUUAUGAACCUUUUAUAUUUUUUAAUUUUGAUUUUUAUAAUUUUGAAUUGUUUAGUAUGAUUGGACUCUUUUUGAAAAAGUUAAUGGUAAAAUUUAGCUCAAAAAAGAAUAAAAGCCAAAUUGAUAAAAAAAAUAUAAAUGUUGAGGGCUAAAUUUAUCAUUAUACCAUUUUACAACUAGUUAUAUUUAAGUUGGUACUAUUCAUUAAAAUCAUUUAAAAUAGAUCAUACAUCUAGACUUGUUCGUGGGUCAGGCUACUCGUAUAGAUCUGAAUAAAAAUAUUAGGCCCAAAAAUGGGUUUGGCCGAAAAAAAUAAGCUUGUUUAAAAUAGGGGCUAGACUCGAGCUUGAAUGUUUAAGGACCAAGCCCAACUCGACCUGCUUUUAAGUUUAUAAUAUUUUAUAUUAUGUAAGAUAGCUUAUUGAUAAAUAUAUUGAUAAGAAAUUUAAAUAUUAAGAAAAAUACGUAAAUUUUUCAAAAUUUUACAUCUUAGUUAAAUAAACUGUACGCUUUGGGUCUUAAAUCUUGUUAUAUAUAUGAUGUAUAUGAUUCGUUUAAAAAUUAAAUUAUUAGAGUUAUUUUCAAAAAUUUAAAUUAAAAAAAUAAAGAAAAGAAGAAAUAAUAUUAUAUAAAUAAAAAAGCAAGGAUAUAAUAGGAAAGAAAGACUUCAAACGAUUGACACUGACAGUACCAUUGACAGUAACACUAAACACUGUUACUCAAAGGAAGCUCCAGUACGUUUGAAAUCAAAGCAAGGGUAAAUGUUGCUUCAUUUCCACCCUUGUGGGGAUGUUUUCAAAUCUAAUUUGAUAUCUUUUAUACAAAAUAAUAUAUAUAUAUAUAUAUAUAUAUGAACCUAUUUCUCCCUUUUUUUUGCCUUCUGUUCUAUUUUGUUUGUUAUAACAUUGAAGUCAAUUUUUCUUAAGAAUAUUAUUCCAACAAAACAAAAAUAGUUUGAAUGAGUUUUUUUAAGAAUAAAUCUGCAUUAACAUUUUAACUGAAAUAGUAAAGAGACCAAAAUUUGUUAAAAAAAAAGUAUAAGAAUUAAAUAUCAAAUUUAAGGGAUCAAAAACAAAAUAUGGUUGAAGGCUCUCUAUACUUAAAAAUAAACUAUACCAAAUAAAAGUAUUGGGAUUAAAUCUCUUAAGCAUGUUGCACUUACAAGUAGCGAAAGAGAGGAAAAACAAACUUUCAACUCAAAUGAGAGAAUAUGAUAUUUAUUGAAUUGAUGAAUAAUUUCAAAUGGUUCUAGCCUUUUAUAGGCUAUAUAAUAGUUAAAAUUAGUAACUCAAAGCUAAAAAUAACAAAGCCGAAUGAGAGAAAAAUCCUCAAUAAUCUCUAAUUUCUAAGGAUUAUUUACCAAAAAAACCUCAACAAUCCCUCCCUUAAAUUGAAAGUACACUGAACUUUCAGUUUAAUAAAUUUUUGCUACUUGAUGUCAAAGACCAAGUAUUUUCCUGAACUUGACAAAUGAUGCCAACUUGAGAGGUUUAGUAAAUACAUCAACAACUUGAUUCUCACUUCUGCAAUACUUUAGCUUAAUUGCUCUUUCAUUGCUGAGAUAUGAUAGAAAGUAAUAUUUUACAUCAAUAUGCUUGCUUCUUCCAUGCAACACGAGAUUGUUUGACAACUUGAUGGUUGAGUUGUUAUCACACAAAAUUAUAGGGGCUUUUUCUGGCUUGAAUUGUAGUUGUUCAACGAUUCUCCUAAGCCAAAUAGCUUGACAAGCACAAGCUGUAGUCUCAAAAAAUAAGACAAUGGAUUGUUUCUUAGAUGACCACGAAAUAUCCCCUGUUCCAAGCAUAAAAACAUAACCUAAAAUGCUUAUUCUGUCAUCUUGUUCUCUUGCAUAAUCACUGCCAGUGAAGCUAAUCAUGUUUGGCUUUUCACCUUUCUUCUAGAAAAUCCCAAAUCUUUGGUUCCUUAUAAGUAAUAAAGGAUUAUAUUAGCAACUAAUAAAUGUUUUUCAAUCGGGCUCUCCGUGUCCCUACUAAUAAGACUCAUAGAAUACAUAAUGUUUGGCCUCGUAGCAGUUAGAUACAUCAAACUACCUGUAAUUUGCUUGUAAAUUAUGCUAUCCACUUUUUUUAAUAAGUUUUAAGCCAAACUCAGUUAGAGUGUUGGAAGAGUUACAAUUCGUCAUCUUGAAUUUGUCCAAAAUAUCUCUCACAUACUUUUUCUCUUCCUUCAAGUAUCCAUGUAAGAAUGUCGACUUGAUAUGUAACUGAAAGAUUGACCAAGAGUUCUGCGCUACUAAAGCAAUCACCAAUCUGAUGGUGUUAUGUCUUGCAACUAGGGCAAAAACUUUUGUGUAGUCCAGACCAUACUCUUGUUUGUACCCUUUAGCCGCUAAUUGCAUAUUGCACAUCUCAACCUCCCUAUUUUCAUUCAACUUCGUCUUGUAGAUCCAUUUGACACCAAUGGUUUUGUGCCCCUCAAGAAGAUCAGUCAUCUCCUAAGUAUCAUUCCUUUUAAUGGCUUCAAUUUUAGCAUCUAUUGCCUCUUUCCAUUUACCAAAUUGGCAACAUUUUCAAAACUUGUUGGGCCACAAUCUAUAAAUAAUGCAAAUUGAGCAAUUGUAUAAUGGUUUUCUCUAAUUUUGGUUAUGUCAUAAUCUUACAUCCAUGCUGGCCUUCGAACAUGACGAAGUGCUUCAACUAUUGUACUAGUUUCUUCUUCAUGUGUAAACAAUACUUUAGUGGCUAAUGGAGAAGUAUUCUUGAACAUUUCUUCAGCUUUAUUAUCACAAAGGACUUGGGUAGGUUGUGCUUCAUCCCAAUACCAAGUGUUCUCUUCAUGAAACACAACUCUUGGCUAAUCAUGACCUUCUUUGUCACAGGAUUGAACAAUUUGUAUGCCUUUGAUGUUUCACUAAUACUAAGAAAGACACAUCAACAAGCUUCUUCCAUUUCUCCUCCGAGACAUGUGUUUAGGUAAUGCACUUAAAAAUUUUGAAGUGAUCUACCACUGGUCUCCUUCCAAUCUAAGCCUUCUCUGGAGUCACAUAUCGAAGAGCAUUAAUAGGGCUCCUAUUCAAGAUGUGGAUGUUCCAAUUUAUAGCUUUUGACCAAAACACCUUUGGAAUUCUCCCUCUUGCUAGUAGGCUUCGAACCAUGUUGAGAAUGGUUCAAUUUUUUCUCUCUGAUACAUCAUUUUGUUGUAGUGUAUAAGCAGUUGUGAGCUUUCUUUGGAUGCUGUGAACAUCACAAGUCUUCAAACACCUCAGAGGAAUAUUCACCACCACGACUAGUUCGAAGAUCUUGAAUGGUUCUUCCUUUAUCAUUUUCUACACCAGCUUUAAAGCUUUUAAAUACAUUAAAAGCUUUUGAUUUUUCUUGUAAAGGUAAAUCCAAGUCCUACAAGAAUAAUAAUCAAUAAAGGUAAUAAAAUUCCAUUAGAAAUUGGAUUUAUUGGCCCACAAAUGUCUGGAUGCACCAACUCUAAUACCUCUUUUGCUUUCCAUGACUUACCUUUAGGAAAUUGAGAUUGAUGUGGUUUGCUAGCAACAAAUUCUUCACAAAAUAGGGAAGGAAAGAUAAUUGGAGGAAGACCAGUCACCAUAUUUUUCUUUUUAAGUAUUUUCAAACCACCAAAGUUUAAAUGACCAUAGCAAAAAUACCACAACCAAGAAGGAUAUUUAACUUUUGCUAUUAAACAAGAUUGAACAACCUCAAUCUUAAAUGGAAACAACCUAUUCUGAAUUAUUUCCAUAAUAGCGACAACUGUUCUAGAUGGAUCAGAAAUCUCACAAGCACCAUUCCUGAGAGUGACAACAUACCCCUUUUCCAAUAGUGGCAUCAAAGCCAAGUUUGUUCUUGUUAGCUUAGAAAAGGUUUCACCUAUGGCCUUGGAAAGUAGUUUUGUUCAAGUAGUUAUUCCUUAUUUUGAUGAUCACUAUGACCAUUGGAGUAUGCUAAUGGAGAAUUUCCUAUGGUCAAAGAAGUAUUGGCCAAUGGUUGAAGCAGGUAUCGAAGAGUCUGUAGAAGGAAAAACUUUGAUGAAUGCCCUGAAAGUAAAGUUUGAAACAAGAAAGUUGAAAGAUUUGAAGGUGAAAAAUUAUCUCUUUCAAGCUAUUGAUUGUCCCAUCUUGAAAACUAUUCUUUGAAAAAAAAAACUUCCAAGGAUAUAUGAGAUUCCAUGAAGAAAAACUAUCAAGACUCUACUAGAAUGAAGCAAUGACAUAUUCAAGCCUUGAGGACGGACUUCGAGACUCUAUAGAUAAAGGAAGGGGAUUCUAUCACUAGCAAUUGUGCUAGAACCAUGGAGAUUUGUAAUAGGAUGAAGUUCUAUGAUGAGAAAAUGGAGGAUGCCACCAUAGUGGAGAAGAUUUUGCGCUCUAUGAUGCCGAAGUUUGAUCAUGUCGUUUGCAUCAUUGAAGAGUCAAAAGACAUAGAUGAAUUGUCUCUUGAUGAGUUGUAAAACUCUUUAUUUGUGCAUGAGCAGAAGAUGAGUUGUACUUCAGCCUUCAAGAAACAAACUUUGAAGGCUUCUAUUUUUUUUUCAAUUUUAUAGGAUUGCGUAAAGGUUGAGGGAUAUAUUUGGAAAUGUGCCUAUAUUUUAGUAAACAUGUAACUGUUUUUUUAUUUAUUUAAACAGUGAAUUAAUAAAUAAAGUUAAUUUUACAUUUCACUAGUAUGUCUUUUGUAUUUUCUGUCUUUUAUAUUUAAAAUGCAUAGCAAAAUUGUAACAAGCAAAUAUUAGCUCAUUGAUUGUCUAAAGUUCAAACUAAAGAUAAGUGACAUUGUAAAGAACAUUUACAUUGUGAGAAAGAUGACUUAUUUUAGUAGAUAAUCUAAAUGAGUCCUUAAUCUCGUAAAAGAAUCAAAGUGAGCAUUUGAUUUAAAUACUGAGAAGGAUUAUUAUGUCGUCUACAAUUUCAAUUGGGGAUAUGGCUAGUCUUGGCUAUCGAAGCAGUUGACUCCAUUAGUAGAGAAAUAGAUGUAUUCAUUGGUAGAAUGAUACAUUGGAUUGGACCCAAUAUGAAUUAAUUCUGAAUCUAUUUGUGAAUUAAUUCACUUGUGACGUUUAUGGUGUUGUUUAUCCAAAUCUUGAGUUAGUCACGGACCAUACGUAUGUAACCCAUGUGCUUUGAUAUGAGUGGAGGCUUAUGCUCUAAAGAGGAUCGAGCCCAUACUCGGUAUGGUGGGUACAUAACUUGUAUAUGGCAUGACUUUACUAGCAACAGUGGAAUUCAUAGCUCAAUUAAAGAGUUAAUGAUAUCAUCUCAUUGGCAUUGUGUGGUGAAACACCCCUAACCCCUAUUCAUCGCCGAAUUAGGGUUACAGGGAAUUACCAAACAAAGCGUGAUUUACCACAAUCAUUAACUCACCACAGAAUAACUAUACUUUUAUUUUAUUAUCAGAGUUUAAAUAUUCACAGAUCAGUUAAAAGGCUAAUCAUAGCUUACGAAUCAACACUAUUUAAAAAUUUCGAAUUCGAACUUACAUAUAUAAACAAUAGAACAUGUUCCAUGCUUAAUAGUCAAUUCUAGCAACAUAUACUAAACCAUUCAAAACAAACAAUGUUAAAGCUUACCACCAUAAUUGAUUUCGAAUAAUCUAGGCAUAUUCAAUUAUAUAUUUAAUUCAUGUCAACCUACAUUCUUGCUUAAUACUAAAUUUGUGUAAAAACAACCAUUUCAUUUGAGCCAAUUUAAAACAUUCACAUUUCAUAAUCACUACUUAGCUAAUUUAAGCAUAUUACAUCAUUGCAUAUAAAUCAUUCAAUCCAUAAUAAAUUUAUAUAAUAUUAUGACAGAACCUAUUUUAUAUCAACUAGCAUACCCAAAUAUGAAAUAUAACCAUUCCAUAUAUGUCUCAUCACUUUAAUACAUCUUUUAUUCAAAUAUAUUAGAACCUUAUAACCAAUUUUUCUAACUACACCUAAGGCCGAACAUAUACCCACUAUUACAUUUUACUUAUUAAAUCUCUUAAGCAUGUUGCACUUACAAGUAGCGAAAGAGAGGAAAAACAAAUUUUCAACUCAAAUGAGAGAAUAUGAUAUUUAUUGAAUUGAUGAAUAAUUUCAAAUGGUUCUAGCCUUUUAUAGGCUUUAUAAUAGCUAAAAUUAGUAACUCAAAGCUAAAAAUAGCAAAGCCGAAUGAGAGAAAAAUCCUCAAUAAUCUCUAAUUUCUAGGGAUUAUUUACCAAAAAAACUCAACAAUCCUUCCCUUAAACUGAAAGUACACUGAACUUUCAGUUUAAUAAAUACUUACUAUUUGAUGUCAAAGACCAAGUAUUUUCCUGAACUUGACAAAUGAUGCCAACUUGAGAGGUUUAGUAAAUACAUCAACAACUUGAUUCUUACUUCUGCAAUACUUUAGCUCAAUUACUCUUUCAUUGAUAAGAUAUGACAGAAAGUAAUAUUUUACAUCAAUAUGCUUGCUUCUUCCAUGCAACACGAGAUUGUUUAACAACUUGAUGGCUGAGCUGUUAUCACAAAAAAUUAUACUGGCUCUUUCUGGCUUGAAUUGUAGUUGUUCAAGGAUCCUUCUAAGCCAAAUAGCUUGACAAGCACAAGUUGUAGUGUCAAAAAAUAUGACAAUGGAUUGUUUCUUAGAUGACCACGAAAUUUCCCCUGUUCCAAGCAUAAAAACAUAACCUAAAAUGCUAAUUCUGUCAUCUUGAUCUCUUGCAUAAUCACUGCCAGUGAAGCUAAUCAUGUUUGACUUUUCACCCAUCUUGUAGAAAAUCCCAAAUCUUUGGUUCUUUAUAAGUAACGAAGGAUUCUCUUAGUAGCUAGUAAAUGUUUUUCAACCGAGCUCUCUAUGUACCUGCUAAUAAGACUCAUAGAAUACGUAAUGUCAGGCCUCGUAGUAGUUAGAUACAUCAAACUACCUACAAUUUGCUUGUAAAGUAUGCUAUCCGAAUUCUUUAAUAAGUUUUAAGCCAAACUCAGUUGGAGUGUUGGAAGAGUUACAAUUCGUCAUCUUGAAUUUGUCCAAAAUCUCUCUCACAUACUUUUUCUCUUCUUUCAAGUAUCCAUGUAAGAAUGUCGAUUUGAUAUCUAACUGAAAUAUUGACUAAGAGUUCUGCGCUACUAAAGCAAUCACUGUGCAGCCCAAAUUUUACCCGGGCCUAAUAUUCAAAACAGUCCAGAAACCCAAAACCCAAAUAUCCAAACCCAACAACCCAAUAGGCCCAACUGUCUAAACCUAGCCCCAAAAAAAAUCAAAUCAGAAAUAACAAGUCAAACCUUAGGUGCGCCGCAUUUAGGGGUUCCUAGCUCUGCUGGCCGCCACAUCUGCCACUGCCAUUGCCGCCACUGCCACCGCCACUUGCACCUGCAAUAUCAAAAAGGAAAUGACAGCAAGCAAAAAAGAAUAAAAAAUGUAAAAAAUAUGGCUAUAUAGAGGCCAUUUGAACCGAUUGUAAUUUUUUUAUAGGGAAUAAAAAAAGAACUAAAAAAAAAACAACAAAUCAGAGAGAAAAAAACUUGGAAGGUGAUUUUCGUUUUUUCUAUUCUGCUAUUGAGUUCUUUUUCCUUUUCUAUUCAUUUAAUUUAAUUUUUACUUUAUUUUUUUAGUUUUUCUUUAAUCUAAAUUUUUUGAAAUAUAUAUAUAAACUAAUAUUGGUUUUAUUUUAAAAAAAGAGAAAGAAAUCAUACCUUUGAAUAUUUUUGCAACGGCGUACGGCAGACGGUCGCACCAUGGCCAGAGGAAGGGAAAGGUUGUGUGGAAAGAAGGGAAGAGCUUUGAUUUUUUUUAGGGAUAGUGGCAGAAAUGAUUUUUUUAAAAAAAAUUUGGGGCUUAUAUAGGGUGCCCCUUAGCCGCUAAUUGCGUAUUGCAUUUCUCAACCUCCCAAUUUUCCCUCAACUUCGUCUUGUAGAUCCACUUGACACUAAUGGUUUUGUGCCCGUCAAGAAGAUCGGUCAUCUCCUAAAUAUCAUUCCUUUUAAUGGCUUCGAUUUUAGCAUCCAUUGCCUCUUUCUAUUUUACCUCAUUGGUAAUAUUUUCAAACCUUGUUGGGCCACAAUCUGUAAAUAAUACAAAUUGAGCAAUUGCAUCAUCGUUUUCUCUAAUUUUGGUUACGUCAUAAUCUUACAACCAUGCUGGCCUUCUUCGAACAUGACGAAGUGCUUCAGCUAUUGUACUAGUUUCUUCUUCAUAUGCAAAUAAUACUUUAGUGGCUAAUAGAGAAGUAUUCUUGAGCAUUUCUUCAGCUUUAUUAUCACAAAGGACUUGAGUAGGUUGUGCUUCAUCCCAAUCCCAAAUGUUCUCUUCAUGAAAUACAACUCUCGGCUAAUCAAGACUUUCUUUGUCACAAGGUUGAACAAUUUGUAUGCCUUUGAUGUUUCACUAACACCAAGAAAGACACAUCAACAAGCUUCUUCCAUUUCUCCUCUGAGACAUGUGUUUAGGUAAUGCACCUAAAAAUUCUAAAGUGAUCUACCACUGGUCUCCUUCCACUCUAAGCCUUCUCUGGAGUCACAUCUCGAAGAGCAUUAGUAGGGCUCCUAUUCAAGAUGUGGAUGUUCCAAUUUAUAGCUUUUGACCAAAACACCUUUGGAAUUCUCCCUCUUGCUAGUAGGCUUCGAACCAUGUUGAGAAUGGUUUAAUUUUUCCUCUUUGAUACAUCAUUUUUUUUGUAGUGUAUAAGCAUUUGCGAGCUCUCUUUGGAUGCUGUGAACAUCACAAGUCUUCAAAUGCCUUAGAGGAAUAUUCACCACUACGACUAGUUAGAAGAGCUUGAAUGAUUCUUCGUUUUUCAUUUCCUACACUAGCUUUAAAGCUUUUAAAUGCAUUAAAAGCCUUUGAUUUUUCUUGUAAAGGUAAACCCAAGUCUUACAAGAAUAAUAAUCAAUAAAGGUAAUAAAAUUCCAUUAGAAAUUGGAUUUAUUGGCCCACAAAUGUCUGAAUGCACCAACUCUAAUACCUCUUUUACUUUCCAUGACUUACCUUUAGGAAAUUGAGAUUAAUGUGGUUUGCUAGCAACAAAUUCGUUACAAACUAGGGAAGGAAAGAUAAUUGGAGGAAGACUAGUCUCCAUAUUUUUCUUUUUAAGUAUCUUCAAACCACCAAAGUUUAAAUGACUAUAGCAAAAAUACCACAACCAAGAAGGAUUUUUAACUUCUACUAUUAAACAAGAUUGAACAACCUCAAUCUUCAAUGGAAACAACCUAUUCUGACUUAUUUCCAUAAUAGCAACAACUGAUCUAAAUGGAUCAGAAAUCUCACAAGCACCAUUCCUGAGAGUGACAACAUACCCAUUUUCCAACAGUGGCAUCAAAGCCAAGUUUGUUCCUGUUAGCUUAGAAAAGGUUUCACCUAUGGCUUUGGAAAGUAGUUUUGUUCAAGUAGUUAUUCCUUGUUUUGAUGAUCAUUAUGACCAUUGGAGUAUGCUAAUGAAGAAUUUCAUAUGGUCAAAGAAGUAUUGGCUAAUGGUUGAGGCAGGUAUCGAAGAGUCUGCAGAAGGAGAAACUUUAACGAAUGCCCAGAAAGUAAAGUUCGAAGCGAGAACGCUAAAAGAUUUGAAGGUGAAAAAUUAUCUUUUUCAAGCUAUUGAUUGUCCCAUCUUGAAAAUUGUUCUUUGCAAAAAAAUUCCAAGGAUAUAUGAGAUUCCAUGAAGAAAAUGUAUCAAGGCUCUGCUAGAGUGAAACAAUGACAUCUUCAAGCCUUGAGGAGGGGCUUCGAGACUCUAGAGAUAAAAGAAGGGGAAUCUAUCACUAGCAAUUGUGCUAGAACGAUGGAGAUUUGUAAUAGGAUUCAGUUCUAUGACGAGAAGAUGGAGGGUGCCACCAUUGUGGAAAAGAUUUUGUGCUCCAUGAAGCUAAAGUUUGAUCAUGUCGUUUGCAUCAUUGAAGAGUCAAAAGACAUAGAUGAAUUGUCUCUUGAUGAGAUGCAAAACUCUUUAUUUGUGCAUAAGCAGAAGAUGAAUUGUACUUCAGCCUUCAAGGAACAAACUUUGAAGGCUUCUACUUUUUUUUUUCAAUUUUAGAGGAAUGGGUAAAGGUAGAGGUAUAUAUUGUGAAAUGUGCCUAUAUUUUAGUAAACAUGUAACUAUUUUCUAUUUAUUUAAACGGUGAAUUAAUAAAUAAAGUUAAUUUCACAUUUCACUAUUAUGUAUUUUGUAUUUUCUAUCUUUUAUAUUUAAAAUGCAUAGCAAAAUUGUGACAAUCAAAUAUUAGCUCAUUGAUUGUCUAAAGUUCAAACUGAAGAUAAGUGACAUUGUAAAGAACAUUUACAUUGUGAGAAAGACGACUUAUUUUAGUAGAUAAUCUAAAUGAGUCCGUAAUCUCGUAAAAGAAUCAAAGUGGGCAUUUGAUUCAAAUACCGAGAAGGAUUAUUAUGUCGUCUACAAUUUCAAUUGGGGAGAUGGCUAGUCUUGGCUAUCGGAGAAGUUGACUCUAUUAGUAGAGAAAUAGAUGUAUUCAUUGGUAGAAUGAUACAUUGGAUUGGACCCAAUAUGAAUUAAUUCUGAAUCUAUUUGUGAAUUAAUUCACUUGUGAUGUUCAUGGUGUGGUUUAUCAAAAUCUUGAAUUAGUCACUGACCAUGCGUAUGCAACCCAUGUGCUUUGAUAUAAGUAGAGGCUUAUGCUUUAAAGAGGAUCGAGCCCAUAGUCGGUAUUUUGGGUACAUAACUUGUGUAUGGCAUGACUUUACUAGCAACAGUGGAAUUCAUAGCUCAAUUAAAGAGUUAAUGUUAUCAUCUCAUUGGCAUUGUGUGGAUUAAUAAAUAUAGAACAUGGCCACAGGUUGCUUGUUCUCGAAAGAGUAAUUUAUCACAGUCAUUUGUUGACAGUGAUCGUAUUAAUUAUUAAGAAGACACAAUGGUGAAAAUGAGAUAAAAUAAUAUUGUAUUGGGUGAACGGAUUUAACUCAAAGGAACCAAGGAUACCAUAUGAGGGUAACACACACGUAACGAGGUCAUUAGACAAAGUAGUUGGAUGAAUUGUUUUCGUAAAUAGUAUACAAUAAGGAGUUUUCAAUAUUGACACUUCUUAUGGUCUGACUCCUGAUUAAGUAAUUGUGAAUUAUCGAAACAAUGCUUUUGAACAUAAUUGCAAUCACUAGAGCCUAAUUGUAUAUGUCCAAUUGGUCCCUUCGUUAGCUCAACAAAAACUCGAUCAUAUUACAUUUGAAUUAGAAGAAAAUUCUACGACUUUGGAAAUAAUUUAAUUGAGUCAAUUUAUUUAAAUUAGGUGGUCGUGAGAAUUGUUCAACUAGAGAAUUUGAUUAAAGAAUUUUCUUAAAAAAUUAAUUUGGAAAAUCUAAGUGAUUUUUGGGAAAAUUAAUUUUGAUCAAGUAAAAUUAAAUUAAUCAAAUCAAUUAAAAUUAAUAUGAUAUUUUUGAAAAUUAAUUUUCAAUUAAGACAAUUGGUCCAAUGGGUAAUUGAACUUAAAAAUUGGACCUGAGAUCGUGAGCGUGAGAGCCCAAAACCAAGACUAAGACCCAAAAACUAGUCGAACUGGGCCCGAUAUGUGAAACCGGGCCGACAUUUCAAUCGGUGACUAGAUCAAAUUGGUCGGGUCGUCAUUGACCCGGACCGAACCGGCUCAGCGUGCUGUAAGGGUGUCGCUCCUGCAUCACCAGACAUGUAGGUGUUGGUGCCUGCGACGGCAACGUCCUGGUGACUGGCGGCAGUUGGUCAUCGGUGAUUGAGUUAUGGAAGGGUUACACUCCUACUGGGACACUACUAGAGAAUUUGAUUUCAAAUUAACUAUUUCAAAAGUAAUAUUAUUUUAAUAGUUUAACAUUAAAUUUAAUUUAAUACUUAUCUUAAUAGUAUUUUAUUAAUUUAAUAUUAAAGUGAUUAUGUUAAUAUUAAAUUUAAUUUAAUGUUUAGCUUGUAAAUAAAUAUUCUAUUAUUUUAAUAAGAUUUAUAUUAAAUUUAAUCUAAUAUUUAUCUUAAUAAAUAUUAUAUUAUAUUAAUUUAAUUUAAUAUUAAAAUGAUUAAGUUUAAUUAUAGUUGAACUCUCUAAACUCUCCCUAUAUAAAGAGAGCAUUGAGUCAUUAUUUACACACACUUGAGUUCAAGAGAAAGUUGUAGAGAGAAAAUUCUUUGAAGAGAUUAUUCUAAAAAAUUUCUAGAGAUAUUUUUUUUAUUUAUAACUUGACUUAAAAGUUUAGAGAGAUUGCAAAAUUACCCCACUGGUAAUUUUAAGAAAAAUUUUCUAAUUCGAAGCGAGCUCACGCUUGGCAGACAUGAGCUUGAGGAUUGUGGAGAAGGCUACUCGGUCGAAGCGCUAGUCCUAGACGAAUAAAAAAGAUAUGAUUUUGAUUAAGUGUUUAUUACUUUAGAUAUCACAACUUAAAUUUAUUUUUCUCUACGUUUUCCAAACCCGUUUUUCCAACAAUAAGGGGAGAAGUUUGAGGUAAUAGAAAUGGUGGCAACAGAAAUGGUAGCAAGAAUUACAAAAUAAAUGAUGACCAAAGUAAAGAUAAAUGACGAGAUUUUGAUAAAUCUAAAAUAAAAUGCUUCACAAGGCAAAUCAUUUUGAAUGUUAUUCUAGGCUACUAAAUGUUAAGGAUGAAGAAUCACACUGAAAAGGAAGCUGAGCCAAAUGUAUAAUAUGUGGAUAUAGGUUGUAGUAUUUUUUUCGUAUUUAAAUGAUAAUUUUCGUUGUAGAAUCACCUUUGGUGAUUAUUGUACUGUGGAUUUCAUAAUUAAAAUUUCACGUGAAAUUUAACGUUUUCUAAAAACCAUAUAAGAUCCAUCACCGUCAUGACAAAAAGUAAUUCAAUGCACAUUAAUUGUGCCACCCGCUCCAAGCCCAUUGAUUUCACUAUAAAUUCCAUGCUUUUAGGUAAACCAUCUUCACACAAUCAAAUCAAGCUAGUUAGCAAUGGCUUCCACUACCAAUUCCCCAUCAACCCUCCUCACCCUUCCUAAUUUCUCCAUUCAAACUUCAACAUUCCUUCCCAAAACAUCUCAACGUUCCAUAUUUAAGAAGAAAAAGCCUUUCAACUUUAACUCCAAAAGAGUAGUGUCAUGCAAAGCCAGCAAUGGGAAGCAAAACGAUGCAGACACUUCUAAUUUUCUCAAUAGGUUCGAUAGAAGGGACAUCCUUCUUGGCCUUGGAGGAGGUCUCUACGGUGCAACCAGCCUUGUUAGAGACCCAUUCGCAUUGGCAGUCGUCCCAAUCGAGCCUGACCUGUCCAGCUGUGGGGAAUCAACCGUAGAUACCGGUAAAACCUGCAUGAAUGUCCCUUGCUGCCCACCAAAGUUAAAAGAUUCAAAGAUCAUAGACUUCGAACCACCUUUAGGUUGCAAGAUCCGUUAUCGGCCGGCAGCACAUUUAGUUGAUCGUGAUUACCUGUAUAAAUUUGAAUCGGCAAUGGAGAGAAUGAAAGCUCUCCCUGUGGAUGAUCCACGUAAUUUCAUGCAACAAGCCAAUAUUCAUUGUGCCUAUUGCAAUGGGGCUUAUAGUCAAGUGGGGUUCCCCGAUCAAAAACUUGAAGUUCACUACUCGUGGCUUUUUUUCCCAUUCCAUAGGAUGUAUCUGUAUUUCUUCGAGAGGAUAUUGGGCAAGUUGAUUGGUGAUCCAGAUUUCGCAAUGCCAUUUUGGAACUGGGAUUCUCCCUGUGGGAUGACUAUGCCUCAGAUAUAUUUAGACCCUUACUCUCCAUUGUACGAUGAAAACCGCAAUUUGGAGCAUCAGCCUGACGUUUUGGUUAAUCUUAAUGACGGUAAAUCUUUUGUAAAACCAAAAAAAAAAGAUGAUUUUUAUGAAUUAACAAAGAGGGAACAAAUAAAGAGUAAUCUCUAUGUGAUGUAUCAGCAAAUGGUACGGUCCAGCAAGACCGCUUCUUGUUUCCAUGGAGCGGCGUACCUUGGCGGUUGUGCAUCCGAAACCGAUAUCGGUUGUACUCCCGAACCGAGAGGUGGUACCAUUGAGAACGGUGCUCACAUCGCCGUUCACAAGUUCGUUGGUGCCAAGAAUCCACCUUAUAACGAAGACAUGGGGAAUUUCUAUUCUGCUGGUAGAGACCCUUUGUUCUACGCUCAUCAUGGCAAUGUUGAUCGAAUGUGGAACAUUUGGAAGACAUUGCCAGGGAAGAAGCGACGUGAUUUCGACGAAAAUGUUUGGCUCAAUUCUUCGUUUCUUUUCUACGAUGAGAAUGCAAAUAUGGUUCGUGUUAAAGUUCGCGAUUGCCUUGACUCUAAAACUUUGGGGUACGAUUACCAAAGUGUUGAUAUUCCGUGGCUUAGAAGCAAGCCAACAUCUCGAAGGAGUCGUCUUGGUGUGGGGCGGGGUCAGGAUCAGGGUCAGGAUGUAGCAGCCAGACGAAAGAGUAAAAACCGCAGGAGCUUUCCUAUAGUUUUAGACAAGGUGGCCGUGCGCAUUGAGAUUCCAAGGCCAAAGAAACCAAAGAAAAAAGAUGAUGAAGAAGUAUUGGUUCUUCAAAACAUACAGCUAGACAGAAAUGACUCAGUGCAAUUCGAUGUCUCCAUUAAUGACGAUGAAGACGACGACAACCCUUGCAAACCGGAAGAUGCGGAGUUCGUGGGGAGCUUUUCGAAUUUACCGCACGGAGAUAAUUGCCACUCCGAGGCGAUGCUUAGUACAAAUCUGUAUUUGCCAUUAUCAGAAGCGCUGGAGGAUUUGAAGAUUAAUCCAUUUGAAGAUAGCAUUGUGGUGACUUUGGUGCCUAAAGAAGGGGAAGUUUCGAUUGGUAACAUUAAGAUCGACUACGUUUGUUGAUUUGGGGGUGAAUAUUUUGCUUCAUCCUUUGUGUUCUCGCUAGAUCGGAUUGAUGGGGUUCAUUAAUUUGUUUCUUGCAUGUGUCUCUCUUUUUUUUUAAUAAAAAUAUCAAGCUAAAUGAACAAAAGCAGCGGCAGCUUUAUCUUGCUCAAGAAGAUAAUCAACUCCUAAACGCGCCUGAUAUUUUCUGCCUAUCAUCAAUUCAAUCACGAGAUAUUUUAGUUAACAGAGUAACAACUUGAUUUCUUUAACUAUCCAAUACUUCUUGCACUGUAACAUCUAUUUAAUUCGUCCAACCAAAACUAAAUUUGAUACCUCCAAAUAGCCAUCUUGAAUAGCAUUGAAUGCUUCCAAGUAAUCUGUUUAAAUUAAGGCUUUGACAUAUCUUAUAAGAUUAACUCGUCUGAGAUACUCUAGAAUUCAAUAUUAAAGAUUGAACAAACAUCUAAAUUAUGAUUGAACCCGACAAUCCAAUCUUGCCAAAUUUUAUUAUUAAAUUUUACCAUUUACUUUUUGUAUUAUUUAUAAAUUUUAAGUAUAAUGGUUUAUUUGAUCUUUCAGCUUUAUAAAAAAAAUAUCAUUUUAGUUCUUCAUUUAAUUUUGUCUCUUUUUAACCCUUAAAUUUAUGUUGUUUAUCAAAUUGUCCCAAAAUAAAUGAAAAAAUUAAUAUCUAUUAACUUUGUUGACACAUCCACGUGUAUGCCACAUCAACAUUUACUUAAUUCUUUUUACAAAAUUAAAAAGCAUUAAAAUUAUAAAAAAAUAUUAUAAAAUUAUAAGUUUUAUUUAAUAAUAAAAUUAUAAUAAAAUUCUAUAAAUUUUAGAAUUUUUAAAAAUUUUAAUCAAUUAUUGAUGUGACAUACAUGUGGAAUGUCACAUAAACAAAAUUAUUAAGCGUUAAUUUUUCUAUUCAUUAUAAAGUGUUUUGACAAAAAAAACUAGUUUAAUAGUUAAAAGUGGCGAAGAUUAUAUGAAGGGUUAAAAUGACUUUUUUGUUUUCUAAAGUUGGAGGACUAAAUAAAUCAUUAUGCUUAAAUUUUAUCAUAUUUAUAAAUAAAAAUUUUAAUUUUACUAAAAUAUUUUAUUAAAUAUAUUUACUUUAUAAAAAAAUUGUCAUACAUUUAUAAGAAUUUCGAGUCAAUUAAAAUACUUUAAUUAAAUUAUUAUGUUUUCAUUAACCCAAAAAAGUUAUAUUACUUAUUUUUAAAUGAAUUUUUUUAAUUAUUUAUAUGAUAGGUAGCUUUAUAUUUUACAUGCAAUAUUUUAUAAAGAAUACAUUUAUAUAAUCUAAUCUAAUAUAUUAUAAUUAUAUGAAGGCUUGAUUCGUAAAUUGGUAUCUAAGUUAUGUUAUUUUUUUCCAUCUUGGUAUCUAAACUUUUUUUUUUAUCAGUUAUCCUUAAGCUAUUUUUUCCCCAAAUUAGUAUAUCUGUUAGUUAACCCAUUAAAUCUAUUUUUAAAAAAAAAGUUCAACCCACAAAUUAGUACCUAAGCAGUACUCUUUUUCCCAAAUUGGUACCUAAUUUUUUUUUUAUCAUAAGUGAUACCUAAACUAUUCUUCCAUCACCAUUUUACACCAAAAUGUUAUAUUCGUUAAAAAAAUUACAACCAAUUAUAGAUUGUCACUUCAUAUAAACUUUUAAUUGUUUUAACUUUUUUUAUUUAUUUUACAUUAUUUCUCUCUUUAUAUAUUUUAUUUAUUUAUUUUUCUUCUUUUAUAAUGCCUAGUAAUACCAACAAUACUUAAAAUUGAUUCGCUCGAGGUUGAGAUGCCGGUAAUUAAUUGUGUUUUGAAAUUUCACCAUGUUGAUUAUGUGAAUUAUAUUUAAUUUGAGUUGGAAUCACAAUAAAUAAUUAUAUAUAUUUAUGCAAGAAAUUAAGAAUUUUAUAUAGUUCAUGAAUAAUAUAUAAUUCAUAUAAGGCUUAAUCCAACAUUCACCCUUGGGCAUUUCCAGCAUACUUCAACAUCUACACCGUAUGAUCAGUUGGCAGCCCAAUCACUAACUUCUGUCGACGAACAGCCUUACACUCCGCUGCAAACAAUCCCAUCCACUCCAAGCUAGGGGCCAUAAAUCAACCCCAACAAUCGCCCCACACCAUCCUUGAACACUAUUGGAACCCACCAUUGUUUGAAAAGUCAAAUGGGGUGGGCACCAAAAGUAGAAAGUAAUAUUGGUUGGCAAGUUGGGUUAAAAUUUGGCAUGGGAUAAUUGCAAUUUUGGUCCCUAAUUGUAUAGGGACAUUGCAAGUUGAUCCUUGAACCUCAACUAUAAAUAGGCCUAACCAUUGCUUACUUUCUUCAUCCCAUAAUUGCCAUUCUCUACUUAAGGCAUUAUUCUCUCUCUCUAUUUGUAAAUUUCACUUGUAAUUUUUGGAGUGAAAUAUAUUUGGUAGUGCCCGAGGACGUAGGUAAAAUUUGCUGAACCUCGUUAAAAUUCUGGUGUUCUUUAUUAUUUGUUUUGCAUAUUUUGUGAAUGUGAUUGUAGUGAUUUAUUGUGCUAUUAAAUUACGAUAGAGGGAUAUUCUGGCUAGGAAAGACUUGGUAUUUAAGUGAUCUUCGUGAUCUACCUCUCUUUCCUGGGAAUUGAACUUAGUGUGAUUUUUCAGUACAAUAAUUUUACUCUUUCACACGCUUCCGCGCAACAAUUGGUACCAGAGCCAGGUUCGUACUUGGGGAAUACGACCGUUUACGGUACUAUUCACGUAUACAGCACUAUUUACGUAUACGGUACUAUUCACGUAUACAGUACUAUUCACAUAUACGAUACUGUUCACGUAUACAGUAGUUGGGAUUGAGGAGAAAAAUGGCAGCAGCAUCGUCAUCAGCAAGGACUACUGUGACAAAUGCAAAAUUUGAAGUAGAGAAAUUUGACGGUACCAAUAAUUUUGGUAUGUGGCAAUGUGAGAUCCUGGAUGUCUUAUGUCAGCAAGAGCUAGAUAUAGCCCUUGAAGAAAAACCUGACAAGAUGGAUGACAAGGAGUGGGCCAAGAUCAAUAGACAGGCGUGUGGUACAAUCCGCCUAUGUUUGGCCAAAGAGCAGAAAUACUCUGUCAUGAGGGAGACAUCAGCGAAGAAGUUAUGGGAUACACUGGAAGAAAAGUUUCUAACGAAAAGUCUUGAAAAUAGGCUUUAUAUGAAAAAGAAACUUUAUCGAUUCACGUAUGCACCCGGUAUGUCGAUGAAUGACCAUGUGAACUCAUUCAAUAAAAUUUUAGCAGACUUGCUAAAUUUGGAUGAGAAAUUUGAAGAUGAAGACAAGGCAUUAUUGUUGUUGAAUUCCCUUCCUGAUGAAUAUGAUCAUCUUACCACCACAUUGCUUCAUGGGAAGGACACGAUCACAUUUGAUGCAGUCUGUAGUGCGUUGUAUAGAUCUGAGACUCGAAAGAAAGAUAAAAGAGAUCACAGAGAUACAACCGCAGAAGUCUUAACAGUAAGAGGUCGUUCACACAGCAGCAAAUCUGGUAGAAGGGGAAAGUCCAAAGGGAGACCCGCCAAAGAUGAAUGUGCCUUUUGCCUUGAAAAAGGGCAUUGGAAAAAGAAUUGUCCUAAGCUACAAAAGGGCAAGGCUAUUUCUAAUGCAUGUGUAGCGGAGCAUGAUGAGGAGUCAGACUUUAGCUUGGUUGGCAUGGCAAUGGCAUGUCAAACGGAUGAGUGGAUUUUGGAUUCAGGAUGUACUUACCAUAUGUGUCCUAAUAAGGACUGGUUUUCUAGUCUUAAAGAGCUAGAAUGUGGAAUUGUUCUUAUGGGCAAUGAUAGUGCUUGUAAGACAAUGGGAGUGGGUACAGUCCAAUUGAAGAAUCACGACGGCUCAAUCCAAGUCUUGACAGAUGUUCGCUACGUACCUAGCCUGAAGAAAAAUCUCAUCUCAUUAGGUGCCCUAGAAUCUAAAGGGCUCACAAUCACUUUGAGAGAUGGAUUACUAAAAGUAGUAGUUGGGAAACUGACGGUGAUGAAAGGCAUAAGAAGAAAUAACUUGUAUUUUUUAAAUAGAAGUACAGUUAUUGGAUCAACAUCAACAGUUUCUACAAAAGAUGUAGAUUCAGAGGCUACCAGAUUAUGGCAUAUGCGAUUGGGACAUGCUGGUGAAAAAGCUUUGCAGACAUUGGCGAAGCAAGGCUUAUUGAAAGGUGCAAAUUCUUGCAAAAUGGAAUUCUGUGAACAUUGUGUUCUGGGCAAGCAGAAGAGGGUAAAAUUUGGUCCAGUAAUUCACAAUACGAAAGGAAUUCUGGACUACGUUCACAGUGAUGUGUGGGGACCUACCAAAGUAGCUUCUUUGGGAGGUAUGCACUAUUUUGUUACUUUUGUUGAUGAUUAUUCAAGAAAAGUAUGGGUGUAUCUAAUGAAAAGAAAAAGUGAAGUUUUGGAUGCAUUUCUGAAAUGGAAAAAGAUGGUGGAGACUCAGACUGGUCGAAAGGUCAAACGACUUCGAUCAGAUAAUGGUACUGAGUACAAAACGAUCCAUUUCUACAAGUAUGCCAAGAUGAGGGCAUUGUGCGACACUUCACUGUUCGGGAUACACCACAGCAAAAUGGGGUGGCAGAACGAAUAAAUCAAACUAUACUGGAGAAAGUUCGAUGUAUGUUGUCCAAUGCUGGAUUGGGCAAAGAAUUUUGGGCUGAGGCAGUUACAUAUGCGUGCCAUCUAAUUAACCGUUUGCCAUCAGCUGCAAUAAAUGGAAAAACUCCUAUGGAGAUGUGGACUGGUAAAUCUGCUACUGAUUAUGAUUCUUUGCAUGUAUUUGGUUCCACUGCAUAUUAUCAUGUAAAAGAAUCUAAGUUAGACCCAAGAGCAAAGAAAGCAUUAUUCUUGGGUAUAACUGAUGGAGUAAAAGGAUAUCGUCUCUGGUGUCCUGAUACAAGGAAGAUUUUUUUCAGUAGAGAUGUGACUUUUGAUGAAUCAACCAUGUUGAAGUACAAGGAUUCACAAAAGGAUGACAAAACCAGUAGUACUUUGCAGCAGGUGGAGCUUGAAAAGGUUAACGAUGAUCCAGCUAAUAUUGAAGGGACAAAUGAUGAAGAGGUUCCUACCCAAGAAACUCUACAGCAACAAGAUUCAAUUGCAUAUAGAAGGCCAAGAAGAGAGAUUCGUAAGCCUGCUCGCUUUGAUGAUAUAGUGGCCUAUGCACUUCCAAUUACAGAUGAUGAUGUUCCUUCUACUUACACAGAAGUAAUAAGUAACCCUGAUGGUGUAAAGUGGAAGCAAGCAAUGAAUGAAGAAAUGCAGUCUCUUCAUAAAAAUAAGACCUGGGAGUUGGUGACACUACCCAAGGGAAAGAAGGCAAUUGGAUGCAAAUGGGUAUAUGCAAAGAAGGAAGGAUUUCCUGAUAAAAAUGAAAUUCGAUACAAGGCUAGAUUAGUAGCAAAGGGUUACGCUCAGAAAGAAGGAAUAGACUACAAUGAAGUGUUUUCUCCAGUUGUGAAGCAUUCGUCUAUUCAGAUUUUGCUAGCCUUGGUUGCGCAAUAUGAUCUUGAACUAGUUCAGCUUGAUGUGAAGACCGCGUUUUUACAUGGUGAUUUGGAAGAGGAAAUCUAUAUGACUCAGACAGAUGGAUUCAAGGUUGUUGGAAAAGAAAAUUGGGUUUGCAAACUGACAAAGUCGCUUUAUGGAUUGAAGCAAUCUCCGAGGCAGUGGUACAAGCGAUUUGAUCAGUUCAUGAAAGGGCAAAGGUACACAAGAAGUAAAUUUGAUCAUUGCGUGUAUUUUCAGAAGCUACAAGAAGGAACUUUCAUAUACUUGCUCUUAUAUGUUGAUGAUAUGCUAAUAGCAUCUAAGAGCAAAGUUGAGAUUGAAAGAUUGAAGACUCAACUCAAUCUCGAGUUUGAGAUGAAAGAUCUAGGAGAAGCUAAAAAGAUUCUCGGCAUAGAAAUAUGGAGAGAUAGAGCUCAUGAUAGAGUUAGCUUGUCUCAGAAGCAGUAUUUGAAAAAGGUACUACAGUAGUUUGGCAUGAACGAGCAAACAAAACCUGUAAGUACCCCGUUGGCUUCUCAUUUCAAGCUUUCUGCACAACUAUCUCCUUCGACGAAUACGGAACGAGAAUACAUGUUGCAAGUUCCGUAUUCUAAUGCAGUGGGUAGCUUGAUGUAUGCAAUGGUGUGUACAAGACCCGACAUUUCACAGGCAGUUAGUAUAGUGAGUAGGUAUAUGCAUAAUCCUGGAAAAGGACAUUGGCAAGCUGUGAAAUGGAUUCUACGGUAUAUUCAGAAGACCGUGGAUGUUGGAUUACUGUUCAAGCAGGAUAAUACACUUGGUAAAGGUGUUAUUGGGUACGCUGAUUCUGACUAUGCCGGUGAUUUAGACAAGCAAAGAUCAACCACCGGUUAUAUGUUUACACUUGCUGGAGGACCAAUAAGUUAGAAGUCUACACUACAGUCUACAGUUGCAUUGUCAACCACAGAAGCCGAGUACAUGGCUGUAACAGAGGCUGUAAAGGAGGCUAUUUGGUUACAAGGUAUGGCUAAAACCUUGGGGUUGGUUCAGGAGCAUAUUAACGUGUAUUGUGAUAGUCAAAGUGCUAUUCAUUUAGCAAAGAAUCAAGUCUAUCAUGCACGUACAAAACAUAUCGACGUACGAUUCCAUUUUGUGCGGGAAAUUAUUGAAGAGGGGAAAAUUUGUCUUCAGAAGAUCGAGACUGCAGAUAAUCCCGCAGAUAUGAUGACCAAGGUGGUAACAAGCAACCAAUUUCGAACAUUGUUUGAACUUGAUUAAUAUCCUGCAAGUUUAACAGUUGAAGAAGGCACUAUCAAGUAUUGUUGUCAAAAGCAGAAAGAAUUGUGUGAAGAUAAGAUUAUCGUAAUCAAAUCUUCAAGGUGGAGAUUAUUGGAACCCACCAUUGUUUGAAAAGUCAAAUGGGGUGGGCACCGAAAGUAGAAAGUAAUAUUGGUUGGCAAGUUGGGUUAAAAGUUGGCAUGGGAUAAUUGCAAUUUUGGUCCUUAAUUGUAUAGGGACAUUGCAAGUUGAUCCUUGAACCUCAACUAUAAAUAGGCCUAACCAUUGCUUACUUUCUUUAUCCCAUAAUUGCCAUUCUCUACUUAAGGCAUUAUUCUCUCUCUCUCUAUUUGUAAAUUUCACUUGUAAUUUUUGGAGUGAAAUAUAUUUGGUAGUGCCCGAGGACGUAGGCAAAAUUUGCUGAACCUCGUUAAAAUUCUGGUGUUCUUUAUUAUUUGUUUUGCAUAUUUUGUGAAUGUGAUUGAAGUGAUUUAUUGUGCUAUUAAAUUACGAUAGAGGGAUAUUCUGGCUAGGAAAGACUUGGUAUUUAAGUGAUCUUCGUGAUCUACCUCUCUUUCCUAGGAAUUGAACUUAGUGUGAUUUUUUAGUACAAUAAUUUUACUCUUUCACACGCUUCCGCGCAACAAACACCCCACUCCAUCCCCCAAGCCUUUCUUCACUCUGAAUACAAUACAUAAAAUAAAAAUAAAGAGACGACUCCUCCAUCUGCAAGGAAAGGAUGUUGCCCCCUUUCAACCAACCGUUCUCAAACCAUGGUUCAUGCCACCAACCAAGCUCACUUACCACCAAUAAUGGCUCUAAUCCAACAAACAGAUCGUAUUUUGCAAAGGAAAAUGAUCUCUUCAGCAAUCCAGUCUUUUCCAUUAAGUAUUAAUUCAUUCCUAGCUAGCCACAAUGACCAUAACAUAGCGCCACAAGCAACAAGCCACUUCCUCUUAACAUUCGAUCUUCCAAACAUGCAGCAACGUACGCAAAAUCACUGACAUUCCAAGGAAUCACCCACAUAUAUAACACCCCACCAUUGAAAAAACAGUCCCUAAGCUUUCCAAGAGGAAGAAAGAAAGAAAAAAAUUAUCACAAUUCUCUUCAGCUUCAUUGCACCAAGAACAAUUAACACAACCAUUAACUGUGGGAAUACCUCGAUUCCUUAAAAAUGCAUUUUGAAGGUAUGCCAUUUUGGAAUAACAACCAUAGGAAGCAUUGCACCUUUGUUGGAACGCAUAGCUUCCAAAUGAAAGAAAACCACACCUUUUGAUGCGCCAAAGAACCUCACAAUCAAGAGAAAACACAACUUCCUUCACAGUACAUUUCCCUUUUCUGUCCACCUCCCACAUCAACUGAUCUGCCUUGUUCUCAUUUAAAGAGACCCCUUUGAAAAUCUACCACAACUCCAUUGCAGACACCCUCUCCUGUUCAAACAAAUCUCUUUUGAAAAAUCUUUCACCCUUGUGAAGUCCAUCCCAAGCCUCGUCCACCGUGAUAUUUUUCUUCAAAGCCAAGAAGAAAGUCUAGGGAAUCUGUCUUUCAAAGCACACAAUCCAAUCCAAUGAUUCAUCCAAAAUGAAACUGAUCUCCUACUGCCGACGCACCAUAUAAAGCUUCCUUCACCUAACAUUUUGUCCAUCCCUUCGUGUCUUCUAACUUCCACAACUCCUUUCCAAGCCUUCGACACUGUUGAGAAUUCACCACAUUAGGCCUCCAACGGUAGUUGCCAAUACCAUAUUUUUCGUCCCAAUUAUUGAUGUGGUGAUUGUCAAUUUAAUUCUUACACAUUAAAAGUACAUAAAAAUAUUUAAAAAAAUAAAAAAUAAAAAUUUUUCUUAUUUCCAAUAAAAAAUCGUAAAAGUUUACUAAAAAUUAUGAAAAAGCAUUAUUUAAAAUUCAAAAUUAAAUAAAAAAUUUAAAAAAUAUAUAAAUUAUUUCAAAAAUUCAAAAAAAAAAGAAAAUAGUAAUAAGGUCUAGACUUAUCCAUAAAUUGGUUUGGACAAAGGUUUUAUGUCUCGAGACCAAACCAAAAUAGAAUUUAAGUAAUCAAAAUAUUUUUAAAUUUAAAUUUGAUUAUAAAAAUUAAUAUAAAAUAUAUGUUUAAUAUUUUAUUAUUUUAAACAAUAAAACAAGUUUUUUAGACGAGCUAAACCUAAAAAAAGCUUAACUGCAAUUUGACCUGAUCAGGCCUAAUAAGAAGCUUCAAUCUUCUAUGGAUGACGACUCAACUAUUAGUAUUAUUGUAAAGGAUAUUAAGGGAAAAAGCAAUAGGUCCGAGAACUUAACUUUUCGAUUUGUACCGUGUCGAUUUAACAACUCUGCACAUGUGAUGUGCUCGUUAGUAUAGGCUAGUCAUAUUCUUGUUCCACGCACUAGAUGGAGGAAACUUUGGUGGCUGUCGAAAACGCUGCGUGUUAAUAUCUAUGGUGAGUUUUCAAUAAACUGAACAAGAACUAUACUGAAUAUGAAGAGAAUGUAUUAAACAAGAAAGAACUCUUUUGUAUUUAGACUAUUAGCUUGAUAUGUACAUUGUAAUCAUGGUAUUUAUAGAACAUAUGAUUAGCUGUUACUACUUAACAACUUAACUAUUUUGAAUAACAAACUAACAGCUAGGCUAGAUGAAUAACACUCUUAACAUUCACCUAUCUUCCCGACAGGUAAAACCCGAAGAAGAUCUCAAAAUCUAGCAAAAGACGAUAUAAAGAGUGGCUUGGUAAGAAUAUCAGCAACCUGUUCACAGGCAGGAACGUCACCAACAAUAAUAGAUCCAUCUGCUACCUUCUCACGAACGAAAAAUAGAUCGAGCUCAAUAUGUUUGAAUUUCAAAUGUAAGACAGGGUUAUCAGCUAGAGCAACAACAUUAGAAUUGUCACGCCAAAUGGUUGGAGGAUCAAUAUUGUGAAGAUGUAACUCUUUUAGUAACGAAACUAACCAAGUAACAUCACUGGUAGCUGCAGUAAGACUCCGAUAUUCAGCGUCAGCCGUAGACCAUGAAACUACCUGUUAUUUCUUGAAACACCAUGAGAUAGGUGUGUAACCAAAAUACACACAAUAUUCCAUUGUAGAGCGUCGAUCAUCAAAAUCGAGCCCCUAGUUAGCAUCUGCAUAGCAAACUAACGAAAGCCGACAUGACGAAGGAAAAACAAUCCUAUAGUCAAGCGUACCACAUAAAUAUCACAGGAUUCGUUUUGAAGCAACCAUAUGAAUAGUAGCAGGCGCAUGCAUGAACUGGCAAACACGAUUCACAGCAUUAGCAAUAUCAGGACGAGUCAAGACCACAUACUGUAAAGCACCUGCAAGACUUUUGUACUCAGUAGGGUUAUCAAGACAAUCUCCGUCAUUCUUGGACAAAGUAGACGAGCUAAUCAUUGGAGUAUGAACACUUUUUGCAUGAGUCAUAAAACUUCUAUCAAGUAAAUCGUGAAUGUACUUCCUCUGAGAAAGAUGAAGACACCCUGUGGAGGAACGAGUGACUUCAAUCCCUAAAAAAUAGUGUAGAUCUCCCAUAUCUUUAAGUGAGAAUUUGUCAUUCAAUCAGACAUACUGCCAGUAAUUAUAAUGUCAUCCACGUAGACAAGCACAUAAAGGAUGGAGUUAGUCGUGACUUCAACAAGCAAAGAUGCAUCAGAUUUGGACAUAGUAAAGCCAACAGAAAGAAGAUAACACUUCAGUUUAUCAAACCAAGCACACGGAGCUUGACGAAGCCCAUAUAAAACUUUCUUCAGACGACAGACUAAAGGCUUGCUAGUUGAGCCAUAUUGAACAUACCCUAGAGGUUGUUGCAUGAAUACCUCGUUAACAAGAUCGCCAUUCAAAAAUGCAUUAUUCACAUCUACCUGACGAAGUUCCCAUCCUCUAGAAACAACAACAUAUAAAAUGACACGAGUAGUAGCAAGUUUUAUCACGGACUGAACGUUUCUUUGAAAUCAUACCCAGGCACUUGAGAACACCCUUUAGCUACUAAGCGAGCCUUUCGACGGGCAAUUGUACCAUAAUGAUUUUUCUUAACUUUGAAAAACCAUUUACAUCCAAUUGCCUUACGAUUAGAUGGUAAUUGAACAAGAUUGCAGGUGGAAUUAGUGAUGAGAGCAUCAUAUUCAACCUAAGCCGCAGCUCGCCAUUCUAUGGUAAAAAGGCUUCUUCAAUCAUGAGGUGCAAGAACUUCAACUAACAAUGCCUUAGCUUAAAAAUGUCAGCCUUAGACCGAGUGACCAUCGGAUGAGUAUUUGCUGGAGGCAAAGAUGAUGACGACGGAGAGAAAGAAGUAUCAGCAAUAGGUACAACAACAGACAGAGUAUCAACAUUAUUGUGUAAAGAAUGUGGCUUAUCUACCUCAGGCUGAGGAUUGGUAGAGAUAGAUGGCGAAGGGAAAAAACCAAUAGGUGAAGAUGAUACACGUGGUAGAACAGAUGAAGACUCCAGAUGCUAAGAAGGAACAACUCGUACAAUUGGAACAAACGUUGACUCAGUACCAGACGAAGCCAUGAAAUCCCUUAUAGCAGGUAAAGGAGCCAAGAACCUUUGUUCAUCAAACACAACAUGACGAGAAAUAACAAUCGUACCAUCCGGCAUAAGACAUUGAUAACCUUUGUGUUGGGGCCUAUAUCCCAAGAAUGUACAGGGUUGAGAACGAAAAUCCAACUUAUGAGACAAAAAUGGUCGUAAGUACAGAAAACAACAACACCCAAAUACUGUUGAUGAUCACACGUGGGAUCUUGUCCAUGAAGAGCCUUAUAAGGAGUCUGGCCAUACAGAACUGAGGUAGGGAGACAAUUGAUGAGAUGAACAGCACAACAAAAUGCAUAACCCUAAUAUUUCAUAGAAAGAUUCGCUUGAGCCAAAAGUGUAAUACCCAUUUCAACAAUAUGCCGAUGUUUGCGUUCAGCCACCUCAUUCUGUUCAGAACUAUGUGGACAAGACAACCGAUGAACUAUCCCUUGAGUUGUUAGAAUAGACGUGAAAGUGCGAAAUUCGCCACCCCAAUCACUCUGAAAUUGUUUGGUAUUUUUCCCGUAUUGAGUUUUGACAAGCUGCUGAAACUAAGCAAAACAAUCGACUACUUGAGACUUUUGGCGAAUAAGAUAAAUCCACGUAAAUCGAGUGCACAUCUCAACAAAGGACACAUAACACCAAUUAUGACCACAUGCAACUGAUGCAGGCCCCAUAGAUUAGAGACAACCAAAGCAAACGGUUCACUAUAGCUUCAUCCAGACUGAGAGGCUGACCGGGUUUCAAAACAGGAACAGCUGUUCCGUGUCCACUAAAGUAGAAGAACAGGACAUCUCCUGGUCUAGCAGUGUGCACCAUUUCAUAAAGUGCAGCCUUAAUUUUUAUACCCGUAGGCAUAGCCCAUGAGCCUGGUAUAUAAUUAUCAGUCAGCACCUUAAUAAACUGUCAAUCAAGGUUAAACCUUUUCAUAAUCAACCUUCUUAUGUUCUCCACAUCAUUUAUGCAUCCUUUCAGGUUGUAAGGGGUCUUUGGGUAAUUACAACCCACAAGAACAGCUUUCUUUUUAUGCACCAGCUUGUUAAUCAUGGGUAAGGCUAAGGGUGUUGGAAUGGUGGCCAAGAAAGCUGUACCAGCAUUCUUAUCACUGCAAUAAAGGCAUAAGGGUGUUGCUCGUGAAAUCCAAGGCUGGUUAUUUCAUCCCUAGCAUUCAUCACAAGCUGUUUAUUGGUUAAUGUACCAUUGGUCUCGUUGAUAAUCUUUUGAAGUGAAUAUAUAAAGGCCCCAUACGCCUUUCCUUGGGUUUUGUCACUCGGUUCCAAAUCAAGGGAUAGCUCAUCGGCUUGGCACCCACUUACUAGAAUCCCCUCAUCCUCCGUUAAUGACCUUGGCUCCUGAGAGGGUCGGAAUUUUAAACUGACGCUGUCUCGAAAGAUUCCGGUCAAAAGAUGGCCAAUGUUGCUGACAAUAUAUAAUCCAGUGCUGAAGGCAACUGUUGUGCCCAAUACGUCUGAUGCGGCGUUUAUGACGUUGGCUGCUGGGCGUCAACAGAUGGCCUUGGUGUAUUGAUUCAAGUGAAAUUCCCCUCUUCUGGGCGUCAACAGAUGGUGCUAUACUCCUUAGAGUACUAUGGGGUCCAAUUUGUUCUUUCUCUUUGACAAUGAGACCACCGCUGUGGCACGAAUCUGAAACGAUUCUGAAGCUUGUUUCUUUUGGCAGCUGCUCAAUCAAGUGCCUGAUGUCCACGUCUGCACAGCCAUGUAUAUUUAUAAAAAAAUGAUAUGAUUAAUAAAGGAAAAUAUGUAGUUGACGAGUUGUGAUCCCAUUUUGGAAUCAUGAUCAACAUUAAUAUUUAAAAAAAACUAAUUAUUAUUUUUUAAGAUUUAAAGUUAGAUUUAUAUUUUGACAUUUAAGGUUGAAUUUUUGAUUUGUUGAAUUUGAGUUUCGGAAAUUAUGAAAUUGUGGGUUCAAACCCUACUAUGUGUACUAUAUUUCUAUUUUUUUAUUCAUAAAAAGAAUAAAAAUGACAAAAAAUUUCUUUAAAUUAAUAUAAUUUACUUUAUAAAAUAAAAUUAUUGUGCAAAUUCCACUAUAAGACACCAUUAAUUAGGAAGAAUAAAAAACCUACCAUAAAUGAGAUUGAGAUCACAAGGCACGAUCGCAUCAUCCUUGCGGCCUGGUUUCAUGUCUGCCUCAACUCCAUGUCCACUGAAGUGGAAUAAUAGGACAUCUCCUUCUUUAGCCUCUUUCACCAUUUUUGCAAGACCAGCCAUAAUGUUUGCACGUGUAGGCAUUUUUGGGGACCCUGGUUCAUCAGUUAUGAGCUCAACAUGUUGAGGAUCAAAGUUAAACCUUUUCAAAAUCACGUCUCUCAUGGCAUGCACAUCAUUUAUGCAUCCUUUCAACUCGUAAGGGGUGUUGGGGUAGUUGCAUCCCACCAGAAGAGCUGUCUUCAUUCUGUCUUUGAGUUUGCUUGUCUUCUGAUUCGGAUGUUGCAGGAAGAACCCAUAUAUAUACACACACAAACUAGUUUACGUUAUACCAUGCAAUGUCAUAAACUCAUAAGCUCACGACAAGUUGGCACCUACAAUAUUUUUAUUUCAAAAUUUAUGGUUGUUAUUUUUUUAGUUAAAUUUAAUCAUUAAUCUUUUAAAUUAUUUUUUUAACAGAAAUGUUUGAUUAGAAUAUUAAUUUUUUUAAUGAUGUUGGCAUGAAAAUUCGUGUGGUAGUCCACAUGUACUUCAUGCUGACAUAAUAUUAUUCGUCAUACAUGCCGCAACAAUAAAUAAUUUAAAAUUUAUUUAAAAAAAUAUUAAAAAAUGUUUAUAUAAAUUUUAAAAAAUAGCAUGAAGUACACAUAGAUUACCAUGCGGGUUGCCAUGUUUAAAUAUAAUGUUUUAGUUAGUAUUUUUAUUAAAAACAUCAAUUCGACUGUUUUUUAAUGAACUUGUCCAUGGGCUGGGGCUUGACAAAAUUUUAGGCCCAUUUGAUAAGUUCAGUCUUAACCCGGCUCGAAAAAUUGGCUUAAAAUUUUAUUCAAGCUCGACCUAAAUAAAAAUGCUAAAACCCGAGCCUGGCUCGGCCUGCCCGUAUUAAAAUUUUUACAUUAUUUUUUAAAAAAAUAUAUAAAACACUAAAAACAUUCAAAUAAAUGUUUCCCAACAACUUGAAAAUAAAAUUUAAAAAAUAUUUAUACUUAAAUAACACUAACAUAGGUGCAACUUACAAAGUAAAUGCCACUAAAAUAAUAACAAAAUUAACAAUAAAAUAAGACUUAUAUAAUAUCCAAACAAUAAUAGCAAAAAAGUAGUCACAUAAUAGUGAAAUGGUAGGAAAACAGUAAGAAAACAACAUAUAUUUUUUUUCUUUUUGUAAAUUCGGGUCGGGAUGGGAAAAAAACACCUUACUUGAGGCCCUUAUCCAAGCCCAUCUUUCGGGUCUAUAUUUUUGUACAAGCCCUCCCACUUUUUGGGAGUCCGGCCUGAUCUAUGAACAUGUCUACUUUUAAAAGGUUGAUAGUUAAAUUUGAUUUUUUUAAAAGAUUAAAAGACCAAACUUAACUAAAAAGGACCAAAUUAAUAAACGAUAUAAUAAUUGCCUAUUUUUAUUUGUUUCUUUUGGUGUCAUGGAUAGAGCAAAUCAAGUGCACCAUUCAAAAAAUUGGGUUUAUAUGUACUAUUAGUUAAUUAGUUGACUAACUUCAAUAAAAAAUAAAAUUAAUUGGUCCAUAAAAAAAAUGUAUUUUUUACAAUUAGAAGUUACAAUAUUAACGAAACAUUAAUACAUUCAUGCUUUACUCAAUAAUUAAUUAAAAUAUUAAAUUAAUAAUCAAAAUAUAUCUAAAUUCGUAAUACAAUGUUUCAUACAAUAAUUACUCAAUCACUAUAUUGCAUUGUUUAAUUGUCGAAACAAGUUAUAACUUCCAUUGUAACAACUCAAAAGAAUAAUUACAAACCAAUGUAUUUUUAGACUUAAAUGUAGAACUAAAGCUUAGUUUGGAUGGACGGUGCGUUUACCUAUGAUUAGUGUAAAAAUAACGGUGGUGGUGAGAUUAGAUAUUGUAACGACACUGUAAUUUGAGACUUGGAUGGACGGUGCGUUUACCUAUGAUUAGUGUAAAAAUAACGGUGGUGGUGAGAUUAGAUAUUGUAACGACACUGUAAUUUGAGACAAAGAUAAAUUAAACGCACUGUACUAUACCAAACCAUCCAUCUAAACCUCACCUAAAAGUUGCUAAAGUUUCCUUCCUACCAUUAAACCAAUGUAUCAUCAACUAUUUGUACUUAUUUUUAAACACUUUUUAUUGGAGUUGCAUGAAAUGCUUGAUUGACUACGUGUAAAUUUAUACACAAAAAACCAAUAAUUUGAAAAGCUUUCCAUAGUACAAUUUUGAUAUAUUUGGCAUUUAAUAAGAAAUCAACAUAUGGAGUGGGUGAUGAAUCCGAAUUGGGGUGAGGACAGGUGUUGUGAUGGACAAAGCGUAAGACAAGGUGGUUCCCGACAGAAGCAAGAAAGCUCUGACAAAAGACCGCUAGGUAUUCCUUUUUCAGACAAAGAAGACAAAAGAUAGAACAUAUAGGGUGGUGGUCGAAGAUAAAUGAUUAUAACAGCACUGAUAUGAUCUGCUUCGCCUUCGUCCACCACCUCAUCUUUAUGUUUUUAUCUUGGUCGUGACUCACGUUGGCCUUCGUCUGCAAGUGCUGUCUAUCGUGAUUGUGUUGCCUAGCUUCUGAGUUCUAUGUAUUAAGGUCUAUUUGAAUGUGCGGUUUGCAGAGGUAAAAUUAGAAAAUUGUUUUUAAGUGUUAAAGUUAAAUUAUGUACCUAUAUGGAUUUGAUGGUAUAUAUUCCUCCUCCAGUGGAUCCAGCACCAUUAACCCAUCUACGUAGUGAGGAUAUGGAAUUUGAGACUCACAUCUUUAUAUAUACACACUAAUUUACAGCAAGUGUACUGACCAUAAGGACGACGACAUGUAGGUAGGUAGGUAGGUAGGCAGAUACAAACACUUUUGUUUGUCUUUUGUGUUUUGGAAAAUGCAUGCGGAAUCCAUGCAUAUGCAAACAUUUUGUGCAAGGAAUUUGCACAUCAGUACUGCAUAAAAGAGUGACUCUGGAGUUAUGGAAUUAUUUGAUAAUAUUGAAUACGAAAUAAAUUUAAAAUAAAAGAGUGGGUGAUUAAUCCGAAUCGGGGUGAGGACAGGUGUUGUGAUGGACAAAGCGUAAGACAAGGUGGUUCUCGACAGAAGCAAGAAAGCUCUGACAAAAGACAGCUAGGUAUUCCUUUUGCAGACAAAUUAAGAAGACAAAAGAUAGAAAAUAUAGGGUGGUGGUCGAAGAUAAAUGAUUAUAACAGCACUGAUAUGAUCUGCUACGCUUCGUCCACCACCUCAUCUUUAUGUUUAUAUCUUGGUCGUGACUCACGUUGGCCUUCGUCUGCAAGUGCUGUCGGUCCUACCAUUGUUCUUGUGUUGCCUAGCUUCUGAUUUCUAUGUAUUAGGGCACAUUUGAAUCGGGUUGAAGUUAGAAAAAUAUUUUUAAGGAUUGAAGUUAAAUUAUAAAUUUUUAUAAGAGUUAAAAUUUAAUUUUAUAAUUAUAUUAAUUUAUAUUUUUAUAAUUUUUAGAGGUCUUAAAUCAAAAUUUUAUUAUUAUUUUGGAUAAAUUGUGAUUUUACAAUAUUUAACUUAUAAUUUUAUAAAAUUUAGAAAGGCCUAAAUUAUAAUUUUCCAUUUUAGGGGUUCAAAAAGUAAUUUUCAUUUUAAAGGGGCCAUUUCCCCUUGCCUGCUCCGGUCACUGCCUUUACGAUGAGAUUUUUAACAGUCCGAUUUUGAGUCAAAUUAGAACAGCAGUUUUGAGACCACAAAUCUGACGAGAAAAAAUUAAUUUUAAAAUACAACAUGAGUUGCAUUAUGAUAGGAAAGUUGCAUGAAAAUAUUGAUAUAAAAAUUUUAUCGAUUUAGUGAUUAAUUAAGAAAAGGACCUAUUGUGUGUAGUCUGCUACCCUGGCACGUUUCUGUCUGCCGCAUUUGGCAUGAUAUUUUUAGGUUUUUCGUAGAUUGCUUUUGUUCUUUUUUCUUGAAAUCGACUUGAACACAAUUUUGCUCAGACGAUAGGGAGGAAGGGAGAGUUUUUCUGAACAUCAAUUCCUGCAAUCAUGGAAACAGAAUUAGUACAAUUGUCGCUCAAUGAAGAAGAGGAAAUUUUACAGAUCCAGACUGAUCCAUGCAUGCAAAAAGAACGUGAAGAUUUUCAGCUUGUAGGUUGUUUUUUAACAGCAAGCAUAAUACACUUUGCAGCUAUGAGAAGCACCAUGGCAAAUUUGUGGCACCCUGUCUGUGGAGUACAAAUUCGAGAUCUGGGAGAAAAAAGGUACCUUUUUAAAUUUUUUCGCAGUAUGAAUUUGGUAAAAGUUCUGAAGGGUUUACCGUGGACUUUUAAUAAUCAUUUAUUAAUACUCUGCAAACUGAGAAGGGGAGAAACUUGGCGAGUUAGCUGAAGCAACCAGAAAUGAAGAGACAGAUGAAUUGAUUGAUACAAAAAUAAACUUGAAUUUUGAUAUUGAGAAGGACGAAUGCUAUUGGGAACAGAGAGCUAGAUUUAACUGGUUGAAAUUAGAGGACAAAAAUACUGCUUUCUUUCAUAGCCAAGCUUCACAACGGAGAAAAAAGAAUCUCAUUCAUACGCUGAAAGAUGAAGAGGGUAGAGAAAUGGAGCUCAUUCAAGACAUUGAGGGUGUGGCUAAGUCUUUAUUUUCAGAAUUUAUUUUCGGCAAGAGAAAAUGGGAAUUAUGAUCAUAUUCUAUCAGGGAUAGAACGCUGCAUUCAUGCGGAUGACAACCGAAAUCUUACAGAACCAUAUUCCAGAGAGGAAAUUAGAGAAGCUGUUUUUGAAAUGGGACCUACAAAAGCUCCAGUGGAGGAUGGAUUUCCAGCAUUAUUCUAUCAGAAGUGCUGGCAGAUUGUUGGGGAUGACGUCCUAGCUUUUGUCUACAAAUUUUAAACGGAAAUAUGUAGGUUAUUCCAAUAAAUUCCACAAAUAUAGUGCUUAUUCCAAAAGUCAGCAAUCCAUCAACUAUGAUGCAAUUUAGGCCAAUUAGUCUAUGCAAUUUACUUUACAAAAUUAUUGCGAAGGUACUUGCAAACAGAUUUCGAAGUGUUAUUGGCAAAUGUAUUGAUGAAGCGCAAAGUGCUUUUGUGCCAGGCAGGUUAAUAUCAGAUAAUGUAUUACUCACUUACGAAAGAUUGCACAAGUUAAAUCAAAAGAGAACGGAAAAAAAGAUUUAUGACCGUUAAACUCGAUGAGUAACGCUUAUGACAGGAUAGAAUGAAUACUUAUAGAGGAGUUCAUGAAAAAGAUGGGGUUUGAUUUUAGUUGGGUAAAUGCCAUUAUGAAAUGUGUCACUGUUGCUUAUUCAGUUGUCAUAAAUGGGUACAGAGGAGAUAAAUUUGUACCAACCAGAGGACUUAGACAAGGGUGUACCCAUUAAGCCCGUUUCUAUUCCUGAUAUGUGGUGAAGGAUUAUCGAGCUUGCUGAGGUUAGCAAUGAAGAGAGAUCGUCUCAAAGGAGUACGGGUGAGUAGAUACGGUCCACAGGUAUCUCAUCUUUUAUUUGCUGAUGACUGCAUACUGUUUGGAGAGGCAACUAGGAGGGGUGCAAACAUCAUAAAGGAUAUUUUGUGUGAAUUCAAAGUUUGCUCGGGACAAUGUGUAAAUUUUGAUAAAUCAACGGUAUUCUUUAGUAAAAACACGUUGGAGGAGGAUAGGAGACAAGUGGUUGAUGUGUUGGGGGUACGUAGGACAAGAAAACCUGAACGAUAUCUAGGGCUACCGAAUAUGGUGGGGCGAAAGAAAAAAGAAGCUUUUCAGAGUUUAAAGGAUCGAAUCAAAACACAUAUUGAUAACUGGAGCAACAGAUUUUUAUCACGAGGGAAAGAAAUUUUUAUAAAGGCCAUUUUGCAAGCUAUUCCGACUUAUUCUAUGGCAUGUUUCUUACUGCCGAGAGCUCUUUGUGAUGAAAUGGAGAGUAUUAUAGCAAGAUUCUGGUGGCAAAAAGGAGGGGGCAAAAGGGGAAUUCAUUGGUGCACUUGGAAAAACCUUUGUUCGUUAAAAGAAAAUGGUGGUCUAGGCUUUCGAGAUCUUAGUCAAUUUAAUAUUGCGUUAUUAGCUAAACAAGGUUGGCGUCUCAUUAAUUUCCCAAAUUCUUUAUUAGCCAGAGUUUUGAAAGCUAAAUAUUUUCCACAGUCCAGUUUUUUAAACGCAGAGUUGGGGAAUUUACCUUCAUUUACCUGGAAGAGCAUCUGGGCGGCAAAAGGACUUCUUCAAAGAGGAUUGGGUUGGAGAGUUGGUAAAGGGAGUUGCAUUUCUAUCUGGGAAGACAACUGGAUUCAGGGGAUUGACAAGGUGGCUGAGCUUAAUAGCACAAACAGAAGAGAAUUACAGUUAGUUUCAGACCUCAUUCAAUUCAAGUAGAAAAUGGAAGUCAGACUUAAUUAAAAGUACCUUUCAAGAAGAUACUGCUCGGAAGAUUCUACAAAUUCCUCUGGCAGAGACCGAACAUGAGGAUAUUCAGGUGUGGAGUGGAGAACUAUCUGGUGAGUUUUCAGUACGUAGUGCGUAUAAACUACUACAAGAUGCUUCUACAGCUAAUGACUACUUAUUACAGACCGAAACAAGAAAUUUUUACAAAAAAUUAUGGAGCCUACAAUUGCCUUCAAAAAUUGCAAUUACAAUCUGGAGGAUUUCAUGGGAUAAUAUCCCUCACUUUGGUAAUCUCAGCUUGAGGAGGGUUAGUUCAACUGCCCGCUGUCCACGAUGUUAUUUUGGAGUAGAAGAGAGUCUUCAUGUUUUCCGAGAGUGUCCUUAUACAAGAGAAGUGUGGCAAGCAUUAAACUUAGCAUGGGUCAUGGAGAAUACGAGUCAAAAUACAUGGGAGUGGCUAACUUGGGUUUUCAAGAACAGCAACAAUUACCAGUGUCGGCUUUUCUGCUAUGCGUUAUGGUUGAUAUGGUCCUUUAGAAACAAACUCAUUCACGAGGGCAAAAAUUCAACAGGAAGGGGAUUAGCUCAGAAUAUUCAAAGACAUAUGGUAGAAUAUGAGGGAAUAAAUGCUGAGAAGAAAACUGAGAAAAAAAUUUUCAAGAGUCACAGUAUACAGGAAAACGUACCGAGAAUAUCGAUCAAAUUUGAUGCAGCACUGGAUAGUAGAACCUUCAAAUCAGCGACAGGACUAGUUGGUUGGGAUAUGAGGGGAAAUCUACUGGUGAUAAAAACGGUUAUCCACAGAAAUGUUCCCUCAUCAUUCGCUCAUCAUUCGCAGCAGAGGCAUAUGCAUGUUUAGAAGGCAUGAAAUUAGGGAUUGCUUUAGGAUCUCAGUCAAUUAGAAUUAUGGGAGACUCAAAAACCUUCAUAAAGAAGAGCAAGGCGAUGUCAACAGAUAAAUCGGUAAUAGGUGCAUUAUUAAAGAUAUUCAGAACAAGAAAUCCUUUUUUCAAGAUCUUACUUUAAAGCACAUACAUAGAUCAGAGAAUACACAUGCACAUGGUCUAGCAAAGAGAGCUCUCGCGAAAGAAGAAAACAUUUACCUGAUAGGAGAAGAACUGGACCGCCACAUUUCAACCUUGGAUGAAGAUUGGCAAAGAAAUCCGGAUUGAAGAAAUGGGUGAAGGAGCAGCAUCCAAACAGAUAGCUUAAUGAAGUUUAAAUCUAUGGGGAAGAGCUAUCGACAUAACAGAUGGGACCUUGGAAAUGACUCUUCAAUAGCCUUUAUGGUUUCCAGCUGUUUCUGAUUAAUGACUGGGAGAGGUUUCAUUCGGUAGAUUUUAAUUUCAAUUAAUGCUUUUGUCUUUUUCCUUUUAAUUUUCUAGCUUUUGGAUUGACGUUUCUUGGGGGGUGUAAUUUUAUAUUUGUUUAGGUUGAAAAUUAGAUUGGUUCUUUUCUGUUUGGUGCUUUGACUUAGGCCUUUGAUUUGGGCUGAUUGGAUUAUUAUUAUUAUUUUUUCUUUCAUAAUAAAUACCCAGCCAUUCUAUCAAAAAAAAAAAAAAAAAGGAAAUGACCUAUUUGUAUAAAAUGUAGAAUUUGAAUUCUAGAAGCUAGAAGGGUUAACUAGCUAUGAAAUUAUAGUACCCCGAAAAUUACUAUAGUAAGAAAGUAAUAUAAUAUCUCUGAUAUGGUAAAAUAAGGAAAUAAAGUGAUAAAAAGGGAAAUUGAGUUAUGUCAAUAAUGAAAGGUAUACUAUGACAUAUUAAUUCAAGAAAGGAUUAAAUCGUAAAAGUGAGAAAAGUUUUAUUGCUCAAGAGUAAAUACUCAAAAAUUGAGGGGUUAAAGUGUAAAUAUGAAAAAUUUGAAGGACCAAUAAUGUAAAUAUUUUAAGGGUGGAAUAAUCUAGAAACUAAGGAAAAUGGAUUAAUUAGGACCAAAUUGAAAAGGUAGAGAAUUUUGAGGGACUAAAUUGCAAUUUUACCAAAUCAAGUGAUGACUCAAGGAUGAAAUUUCAAAAGAUUAUAAAGGGCAAAAUGGUCAAUUAGAAGGAGAGAGAAUUCUAGAAGGUAAUGAUAUGUUUGUGAUAUUUUUAAUUAAUUAAUUAGAUAAAUGUUAUUUAAUGAAUAUUUUAUUAAGAGUUUUAGUAUUAUUUUAUUAUUAAAUGAUUAAUAUAAAAGGGAGGAAAGAUGAUGAGAAUGGAUCAUCUUUUUCAUGCAUCUCACGUUGAAGAGAAGGGAAAAAAAAGAAAGUUUUACUUUCUUUAUAAUUUGGUCUUUUUACCAAAAAUUCACCAUUUUCACUUAGAAAUCAAAAGAAUUUCUAUAUCCAUCAAGAGAGAAAGAUAACAAGGAGACUAUGGGGAGCUAGAAUAUCAAGUUAGAUUCAAGAAAUAGAAGCUGGAGGAGGGAGAAAAUCAAGUUAAAGAUUGAAAUCAAUGGCAUAAGUUAAGAACAUCAAUAUUUUUAUAUACUUUUGAGUUUGAUAUUAUUGAAAAAGUAGGAAAUUAAUGUUAAGAUAGAGUUUCAUUAUAUAAGGUUCUAUAUUCUUGUUAUGUUAGUAAAGGGAAAUAAGAGAAAGUGAUGGAAAAUAUUGAAGAGAAAGGAAAGGAAAGUGUUAUAAAUUUAGUUAUCAACAUUUUACACUAAAAUAGUUUUGAGACAGCAGCAGUAGUCUGAAUUUGAAAAUCUACCAAAAAUCGUAUAAAUUGAAUUAGAAGAUGAAAAAAAUAUUAAAUUAAAUCAUAUUGAGUCUAGUUUCUCAUAGAAGAAACGGUGUAAGCAAAGGAAUUGUAAAUUAUGAGAUACAAUAGGUUUUGUGAGAUAAGGUCAGAAUGAUUUCAGGUUCCCCUGUACUGACUUUUGAAAAUCAUAAAAAAUUGGAUAAAAAUAAUUAGAGGCUUAAAUUUAUAUGUUUAAAUCCUUAAUGAGUCUAUUUUCAAUAGAAACAAACGGUAACAUCAUUCAAAUUCUGUAUGAGGAGGUAAUUAAUUUUUAGUGAAGAAGGGUCGGAACUGUCAGACAGCAGAAUAGGGAUGAAUUUAAAGAAUAAACUGUGCUUAUUGGCUAAACCAAAAAUUCAGAAAAUUUUAUGGUAAGAAUAAAUGUGAGUCUAGUUUCAGAUAAAAUUUACGGAUCUUAAUUUGGAGUUCUGUAUCUCAAGAUAUAAAUAAUUUAGUGACUAUGACUCAAGUGAACAGCUUUGAAUGAAUAUAUAUAAGUAAAUGGUGAAAUUAUAGAUAAUGUUACCUAUAAGCAUGUUAUAUACAUUAAGGAUGUGGAAUGGAGAGGAGGAGGAGGAAAAUAUAUGAUUAUUUAACUAGCAUGAUUUUUCAUUAAAAAUGACCAAUUUACAUGUUUUAGGUUUAGGGACUAAAUUGAACAAAUGUGAAACUUUUAGGGUAAAUUUGUAAAAAUGUCAAAAAGUGACCAAAUUGCAUGAAAUGAAUUUUUUUAUUAUUUAAAUUAGUAAAUUGAAUGAAAUAUUAAUUUAGAUCAUGAUUGGGUUGAAAUUCGAGAAAAAAUAGAAAUUUUUCAAAAUGUCAUUGAAUUUUGGUAUUUUUGCAAUUUAGCCUGUUAAGUUCGUAUGAACUAUAUUUUGUAUAAUUUUAAUUGAAGUGAAUGUUAUUUAGUAAUGAAUAUUAUAUAUAUGUGUGUUUUAUUAUUGGAAUUGAAUUAUUAUUGGUAAUAUGUAUUGGUAGAUUAAAAAGUGGAAAGUGAAUUUGAAUUGAAAUGUGAUUAUUGAAUAUAAAUUGAAAUGGUUUGAAUUGAAUUAUUGAAUUAAACUGGAAUAUUGAAAUUGGUGAUGGAUAUGGAUUUUAUUGGAAUUGAAAUUGAGAAAGUGGAAAUUGAUAUGUGAGACUGAUACUGAACUGAAUUAUGGAAAACUGAAUACUGUUAUGUGUACUGCAUUGAACUGUGAAAAUACUGAAGUAACGAAUUACUGCAAUACUGUGAAACUGAUUGAAAUAAGAAAUUUGUAAUUGAUACUAAACUAAGAUGGAAAUUGUACUGAAAGGUAAAUUAAAUACCCUAUUAACUAGUCAGGCUAGUCGGAUAUAGUUGGCAUGCCAUAAGAUAUGGAAGAGUACGGGGUAUUUGCCGGCUUACUGAUCAGGCACUUAUGUGCCGACUACUGUUACUGUUACUGAAUCGGCACUUUUUGUGUCGAAUACUGUUACUGUUACUGUUACCGAUUCGGCACUUUGUGUGUCAAAUACUGUUACCGUUACUGUUACAGAUUCAACACUUUGUGUGUUGAAUACUAUUAUUGUUACUUCUACUGUUACCGUUACUGAUUACUGUUUACUGGUGUGUUUGGUUGGAAUCCGUGUAUCCGUCGAGUCCGAGUCAAGUUUGUUGACACCAUUUUUUUUUAUUGAAAACGGGGUCGACUUGGGUUUUGAAAAUGAAACGGGAGUCGCCACCAAUCCUUUUUUUAUGAGGUGUGAUUGGGUCACCUUGAAAAAUGGUUGUUUUUAAUAAAUGUUUUGAUUUUAUUAAAACAAUGGUUUUGAUCCACGAAAUUUAGAAAACGGGUUCGGGAGUCGGUUACGUACGAGGAAGGAUUAGCACCCUCGUAACGCCCAGAAAUUGGUACCUAGUUGAUUAACUAAUGUCUUGAUGUCGAAAAUUAAAAACUUGGAAAAAUAUUUAAAAAUACGAUCAUUGUAUUAAAACGUUGAAAAGUUUCAGGAAAAGGGGCAUAUUUUACGUUAUUCGAGAAAGAAAUUCAUAUCUAGUAAGUUAGGACACAAUGUCUCGAAUUCUCGAUACGCGAAUGAAAAAUGCUUAUUUAAAAGAUAUUUAACUAUCUUGGAUUAAAAAAUGGAUCAUGACCAGUAAGUUAGGACACGAUCCUUUUUUAAUUCCUGAUAUCGUUUAAAACUUAAGUUUGAAAAUAUUCACGUGUUUAGAUUUAUUGUGAAAAUCGAAACCCAGUAAGUUAGGGCACGACUUUCUCAAAUCUAAAUACAAAAUACUACAUUUAUUAAUUUUUAGAAAAAAAAUCCUCAUCUCGGGAAAGUAACGUGUCAUAUCCAAUGCGUUAGGACACAACAUAUUGAAUUCUCGAUAAUGAGCCUUUUAUUAUUUUAAAAAGAGUAAUCUCGAUUAUUUAGGUUCAACGAAGAAAAUCGGAACCCAAUACGUCAGGGUUCGAUUCUCUCAAGAUCCCAAAUAUCGAGUAUUACUUUUUCUUUUAAAAUUUUCCUUUUCAAGAAUCUGAGUGAAAAUGAAUAUAAUGGAUAAAUAAAUAAGUAAAUAAAUAAAUGAAUAAAUGAAUCAAGCAAAUAAAAUUAAAAAAUGCAAGAAAUGUAUGGAUGUAUACGUGUAUGUAUAUAUAUAUUAUAAGACAUAAUAAGCAAUGUAAAUAAGCAUGCAUGCAUAUAUUUAUGAAAACUAAAAGGUAUGUACAUGGGUAUGUAUACAAAUUACAUACUAUAAACGCAUAAGCAUAUAAAUAUGUAUACACAUACUUAUGAAGAUUAAAAAUAUACACAUAGAUAUAUAUAAUUGCGUAUGUAAAUUAAUUAUAGUAUAAAAAACAUAAGUAUAUAUAUAUAUAAGAAAAAAUAAAAUAUAAAGAUAAAUUUAAUAACCUUUAAAGGUAUACAUAUAUAUGUUACAAAAAUAUGUGCGUGUAUAUAAUAUAUAUAUAACAAACUUUUAGAAAAGAAAGAAAAAUAAAAUAAAUAAAUAAUAAAAAUAAAAAUGAAAGAAAACAUAAAUGAAAUAAGGAUAAUAAUAAUAAUAUUACUAAUAGAAUAAUAAAAUAAUCUAAAGUUUAAAUAUAUAUAUAUGCGUAUAUAUAAGUAAUUAAAAUAAUAAUAAUAGUAAUAAUAAAUAAUAAAAGAUGAUAAUACAUUAAAAUAAUGAAGAAAAUAAUAAAAAUGCUAAAAAGGGGACUAAAUCGAAAUAAAAGCAAACAAUACGGGGCGAAAUCGGAAUAAAAAAAAGAGGGAUUGAUUUGAAUGUGUGAAUAACAUAGAGGGGCUGGAAGGGAAAAUUUCCCUUCUCCACUAAAACGCACAGCUUCAUUGAGGACCAAAUCGAGAGAAAAGUGAAAUUUUGCGGCAAAAUUGAAAAAUAAAAACAAAAUAGGACCCAAUCGUAAACAGCCUCAAAAGUGGAAGGACCAGGAGCACAAAUAACCCCUUUUAUCCAAAAACACGCGGAUCCUUGGCGGUUCGGGUCGGGUCAGUCCAAUCCAUGUUAAAACGAAGUCAUUUUGAGGCUUCCUGAACUCCUUCAAAACGGCGCCGUUUUAAUAUCUUAUAUAAAUCAUUUUUUUCCUUAAAAUUUCAUUUUCUCCCUUUUCCUAAAAAAAACCCUAAAAUUCUCUCAAACCCUCUCCCCAUUUUUCGGGCACUGCCCAGAAGCCAGCGAGAAGAGCCGCCGUCGACGCCGUCGCGCCGGUCGCUGUACACGGUGGCCGAAAAAUCUAAAAAGGUACUUUUUUUCUCUUUUUUAUUCUAUAUGCGUAUAUACAUAUAUAUUUUACACAAAUCAAAAUAAUAAAAAAAUAAAAUAAAUAACAAUGAACAAAAAAAGAUUUGGAAACUAAAACCUUUUCUCCGUUUUUAUUUCUCUUUGUUUUUUGCUUUUUCAAAAGGAAAUCCCCCCUUUUUUACAAACAUAAAGAUCCGUCCCCCCUACAAUCUAUUUUUCAUCGGUUUUUAUACCGAAAAUAAAAUAAAAAACAAAGCCCCCUGUUGCUUGCUGUUGUGGUUUUUCUUUAUUGUUUGCAGGUGGAGUGGGUGGCGAUGGGACAGUGGCGGUGGUGGCAGUGUGGCGGCUAGCAGAGAUGGUGGCAGGGCAAGUGGGGUGCGGCGCUAGGCUAGGCUAGGGUUAGUUCUAGUUUGGGUUAGGCUAGUUGGGUCUGGGUCUGUCAUUGGAUUAAAGUUUGUAAAUGGGUUGUCUUGGUUUGGUUUGUUUUUGCUGGUACGGGCUCGGGCAAAAAUGGGCUUGUACAAAGUUAAUAGGGGUAAAUGAAAUAAAGAUACUGAUAAAACUAAAUCUGAAUGAUAUGACAUAUGUGAAAGGUAAGAAUUAUGAUUCAAGAAACAGAUAAGGAUAAAUUUUAUGAAAUAGAUUUUGAUAAUAUGAAAUGAUGUAAAAAUGAGAAGUGAAAAUGAAAUAAUUUGAAAUAGUGAAAUAAUACUUGAAUUUAAUUGAAUACAAGUUAUUGAAAUAUAUUUAAUGUAUGAAGUGAGCAUUUAAAGACUCUAACUAUAAAUUGAUUAUAAAAGAAUGAAUUGACGAUGGAAAUUGAUGAUGGAUAAAUUAUUAAAAUGGAAUGGGAAAUUGAAACAAAUGUGAAAUAGUUACUGAAAGACUAAUGUUGUAAGGUUUUAGAUAUGAAAUAGAAUAAGUUAUUGAAUUGAGAUGUAUAAAUGAAAUAUAUGAAAUAAUGAUUUUAUGAAAUGGUUAUUGAUGAAAUGCAUGAAAUAAAUACUGAUAUAGUAAGAAGAUAAAUAAGUUAAAAUAAAGAGAAGCUAUGUAAAAAAAAACAUACAUUUGAAAUAAAAUUAAAGUUUAAAUGCAUGAAUAAUAUAUUAAUGGUAAAUUAGUGGAAGAUUUAAUAUAUAUACAUCUGUGUGUGUGUGUGUUGCUUUUGCCUUAAGUAUUUGAAUUAUAGUAAUACCACUGGGUGUAUACUCAGCGUACGGUUUGUUUUCGUGCGCAGAUUAGGUAUAGAAAUUUUUGAAGAGUUGAAUUUGAGAUUACAAGUUUUCAUCUCAUCACAUCUUCAAGCAACAACAGGGUAUGCUUUAAAGUUUUGAUUAGAAUGGCAUGUACUUAGGGAAAAAAAAUAGGUAUGUUCCAAUUUUUAGUUUUUGUGUUCAAAUAUAUUAGAAAUUAGCCAAGAAUUAAUUUGGCACCACAUGUAACAUUCCUAUAUCAGGUUCCUUAAGUCGAACAUGGUAUAGGGGUGUUACAAGAUUAAUUCUAGUGAAGUUGAAAAUAGAUGUGACAGUAAGAUUAACUAUUAUGGUGAUGAGAUUAAAAUCACUGGUGAGAUGUGUGCUAGGAUUUAUGCAUAUAGAUUGUAGAUUUAUAGUAAGAAAGCAAAAUGACCAUUAUGAACAUUAAACUAAAAUUAAACUAAAGUAGUUUGCACCCUUCCGUAUAUUUUUGUACAAAUAAUAUUUUAACGAUAAAAAUAUUAUAUUUCAUAUUUCAUUUAUAAAUCAUGCAUGUCAAAUUUGACGUAAAUUAAAAAUUUCUAACUAUUUAUUUUAUGUAAAAAUACUUUUAACUGGUUAAUAAAUGUUAAUAUAUACAAUAUUUUAGACCGAUAAGAUAGAAAUAUCAAAUCAAUUUGAAAAUUUGCAUGCAUGAAUCAUACAAUAAUAUCGAUAAAUUCAAUGGUUGAAUUGUUAAAUUAAUAAUCAUAUAAAAAUAUAUGGAAGCGUAUAAAAUUACUUUAGUUUCAUACUAGUGUAAGCGGAUCUCUCCCAUUUUAAUAUAUAAAGUUAAUUAUAUAAUUUAAAAUUAUGUAAUUAAUAUUAUUUAUAAAUAUUAUAAGUAUAAAUAUAUUUCUUUAUACGCCUAACAAAUGUAAAGAAAAUCCACAAUCAAGCUAUUUGUUGAGGGGAGGUAUGUAAUUUUUAAUUUUAUGUAAUUAUAUAUACGACCCCUUGUAAAAUGGGAAUCCAGAUGAAUUUAUGCGCCCUGACCCUUCUUAAAACGAUAAAUCUUGUUUUUAGUCUUUUAAAAUUUAUUUUUAAGUUAGUACAUGGUAAAAUUUUACUUUUGCUCUUAAAAAAUGAUAAAAUUUUAAUUAAUCUUUUAAAAAUAAAAAAAGAUAUAAAUUAUUAAAAUGAUAAGAUUUCAUUCUAACUCUCCUAAAGAAUAUAUAAUUCAAUUAUAACUUUUUAAAAAAAUGAAUUUUUGAUUUCAUCCUUAUUUGAACUUCAAAAAUUACUCAAGAAAAAAAAGUUUUGCUGACUAAGGCAACAAACCAAAGAGAAACGAGAUUCACGAAGGGAUGAAGACGAAGUACAAAACCAAAGGGAUAAUCAAAGGAGAAAAGUUGUAUAAAAUAUAUGUGGUAGCGGGGAAGAGAUGCUAAGGGAUUAAUUUAUAUUUUGUUAUUCAAUAUAUAUAUUUAAUUCUUUCACUAUUUAUUGCUAUACAAAUAUUAGAUUUAUUUAAAAAUUAUGCUAUUUGUUUGUCGGAUUAAUCGUAUUUCGGGGCCGGAGCAAUGAACCUAUUUAAAGCGGUUCAUAUUGUCCUAAAAGAUCCCAACAAUGAAUAUUAAUUUUAUUUCCCCACCUAACUACGUACUCUUGGUUGGGUAGGUCCUGGCAGAGAAGUUAUAGACACAGUUUUAUACUUUGCGUCUGGAAUACUUCACUUAAUUUCCUUUGCUAUAUUGAGUUUUGGCGGUAUUUAUCAUGCACUUUGGGACUUAAAGCUCUUGAAUAAUCUUUUUCAUUUUUCGAUUAUGUAUAGAAAGAUAGAAAUAAAAUGACCAUAAUUUUGGAUAUCACUUCAUUUUGCUUGAUACAGGUGUUGUUCUUCUAGUAUAUGAUAUCUGGGCUUAGUUUAAAUUUAAAUAAAAUAAUUUAAUAGUUCGAAUUAAACCAAACUUAAACAAACAUAUUGAUACUAAAUAUAAAUCUAACAUAAACCUAGCGGCCCAUGAAUGCUUUACAUACUAAUAAAAUCAACUAAUAUUUUAUAAAUACUAUUGAAUAUAUAUGAUCAGGUAGUAUAAAUGUUGAUCAAAUAACAUAAAAAUUCAUGUACAUUCUUUACAUAAAGUUAGAACCUUUUGGGCACUGUCUUAAAUCUAUUGACAUCGGUAUUGUUGUUAGUGCAGGAGAAUAUGGGUUCGAGUACACUGAGACAUAUUAUCCUCUUAUUUAAAGGUUGAGAAGAAAUUAUAAAUAAUUCUAAGUAGUAUUUCAAAUUUUAUUAUAUUGGAUGAAUGGUUAUCUUAGAUCACAAGCUAAAUUUUGGGUUUUAUUUAGUAUGAGCUUUGUUAAUAAACUUAUUGCAUUAAUAUUGGGCUAUUUGGUUUAUAAGACUCUUCGACCUUUUUUUUUUUUUAAGAAUAAAAACAAAAUGAGCUCAUUUUUUAUUUUAUUUUUAAGUAUAUUUAUAUAAUAUUGAAUAUAUAAAUAUGUUUUAUUAUUUUGUUAUUAAAUAUUACAAAAAGUUACAAAUAAAUCAACAAAUUACAAAAAACCCUAAGUUUUACAGAUUUUACGAUUUGAUACUUAUGUUCUGAAAUAUUGACUGUUUAAGUGAUGAAUGAAUAUUUGUUACACGUUUUAAGCUUUUAUUUAUUAAAAUUUGCUUUAUUUCUAUGGAUUUUUAAUUAAAUUUGAGGACAAUGCAUAAUAUUAAAUUUAGCUCUUAACAUUUACAUAUUUUAUCAAUUUGGCCUUUGUUAUUGUUUUGAGACAAAUUUUGGCCUUCAACCUUUUAGAAAAGAGUUAAAAUGAUAUAUAUUUUUUAAUGAGAAUACUAAUUAAAAUGUCAAAACUUUAAACACGAUAGCUUGCAUGACAAUUCACGUGCACUCCGAGUUAUUUCUUUUGAAAAUUUAUGAACAUUUUAUAUUUUAUAAUUUUGAUUUUUAUAAUUUUGAAUUGUUUAGCAUGAUUAGACUCUUUUUAAAAAAAAUUAAGAGUAAAAUUUAGCUCAAAAAAAGAAUAAAGGUCAAAUUGAUAAAAAAAUAUAAAAGUUGAAGGUUAAAUUUAUCAUUAUACCAUUUUACAACUAGCUAUAUUUAAGUUGGUACCAUUUUACCGCAUAGGUCUGAAGGUCUGCUCGAAAUUUGAGAGGGUUUGAACAAAAAUAUUAAGCCCAAAAAAUGGGUUUGACCAAAAAUAUUAGGCUCGUUUAAAAUAUAGGCCAGACUCGAACUUGAACAUUUAAGGACCAAGCCCAACUUGACCUGUUUUUAAAUUUAUAAUACUUAUAUUAUGUUAUUUUUAUAUACUAUAUAAGUUAUCUUAUUGAUAAAUAUAAUGAUAACAAAUUUAAAUAUUAAGAAAAAUACGAAAAUUUUUCAAAAUUUAUUUCACUCUUCAAAAUUUUACAUCUUUCAAAAUAAACUGUCCGCUUUAGGUCUUAAACCUUGUAAUAUAUAUAUGAUUCAUUAACAAUUAAAUUAUUAGAGUUAUUUCCAAAAAUUUAAAUAAAAAAUAAACAAAAGAAGAAAUAAAAUUAUAUAAAUAAAAAGCAAGGAUAUAAUAGGAAAGAAAAACUUCAAACGAUUGACACAGACAUAGAGGUGCUCAUGGGCUGGGCCGAGCCCAAAAAAAUUUCGGCCUGCAUCCUAGGCCCGGGCUCGGUCCGAACCGAAAUAUGGGCCUGAAAUUUUGUCCAGGCCUGACUCGAAAAAAAAUUCCUAAGUCCGAGCCCGACCUGGGCCAAAAAAGUGGUGCUCGAGGCCCGGCCUAUUUUCUAAACGGGCCUUAUUUUUUGCCCAAAUCUAUAUUUUGAGCCUAUAUUUUUACCCGAAUCCUCUUAUAUUUUGGACGGGCUGUCGGGCUGAGCCGAACCACCCGACCCAUGAGCACCUCUACACAAACAGUACCAUUGACAAUAACACUAAACACUGUUACUCAAAGGAAGCUCCAGUACGUUUGAAAUCAAAGCAAGGGUAAAUGUUGGUUCAUUUCCACCCUUGUGGGGGUGUUUUCAAAUCUAAUUUUAUAUUUUUAUACAAAAAUAAAAUAUAUAUACAUAAUAAAAUUUAAACUUAAAUCUUUAUCAUUUUCAUCAUUUAUAUUUUAUCGCAUAAUCAAAUUCUCAUUCAUUAUUUAUAACAAUUUUUUAUAAAUAUAUUUAUUACGUAAUUCUAUUUUUUAUAUUUUUCAUUUUUCUAUAAUUUUAAAAAAGAAAAUGAAAUUUAUGAUUCAUACAAAAAAAUAAAAAUAAAAAAUAAAAAACAAAAGUACUCCAAAGUUGUAUUACUCGAAAUUAUGAUUCCAACAGUGUUAUAAUCAAUACCUCUGACUCGACGAUGGUGUCGAAGCGUCAGGGGUUAGACGAAGGUAUUGAUUAACUUUGUUGUGGUGCAGAUGAUGAGCAUAAAUACUGAAUUAAUUGCAAUUAAUUGUACGUAUACGGAGCUGUUUAUGGGUAGGGUAGUUGUUACCGACGAAUUAAUUAUAAUAUAUAUUAGAAAUUACAAAUUUAGAGUAUAAAUAUAUGUUUAGAAAUAACUUAUAAUAAAUAAUUAAACGUAUUAUUUAAAAUUAAUUAAUAAUGACACAUGAAAUAUGUAUGCUAUUAAAAUAAAAAAAAAUAGAUUAAUUUGUUUAUCAUAGUUGUUAGAGUUUGUGUGACUUGAAUCCUGUCACUUGUUUGACCUCUUGCCCCCAUAGAUUCUCAUUAAGCAUAAAACUAGACUGGGGUUGCUACCAGGAGUGCGUGACUCCCCGCGGUAUGAACCAUGCCGCACAAGUAGAAUAUGUCACAUCCCAAAAACUGGGUUAGAAGAAAUCGCGUUAGUAAAACCAAUAGUGGUUACGUCCUGCUUUUGAGUUAAGGUUGUGGAAAUUCUGUAAAGUGAAUUUUUUUGGUUCAAUGGUUAAGAGAUUGUGUAAUGACUCAAAUUUAAGGUUAUCGGAAUAGUAGUUUCGUAACCACAAAUUCGAUUUAAAGAGAAAUUUAUUUUAAUAUUUUUGCAUGAAUAUUGGUAUGAUAGGAAAACGUAUGAAAAUAUUGAUAGAAAAAUUUUACUGAUUUAGUGGUUAGUUAGAAAAAGAAAUUAUUGAAGAAAUUGGGUAAAAAUAAGGUAUUGAGACCUCAAUCUCGUAAAAAUGAGUCAAAAAUAUUUUUAUAAAUAUUUAUGAAGUGUUAGUAACAUGGUAUUAAAAUUUCGUUAGAAAAUUUUAAUGUUUGGGUAGUCAAUUAAGUGAAAAGGACUAAAUUGAAAGACUUAAAAGUUACUAGAAGGAUUAAAUAGCUCAAUUGUUAAAUGAGGAGGGACAUAAAUUGAAAAUAAGCCCAAAAGGAGAUAUUUUGGGUGGCAUAAGCUGAGAAAAAUCGGGAGAAUUGGAGAAUUAAGGGUAAAAUUAGAAUAUUGCAAAAUUUACUUUAAAAGUUAGGACUAAAGUGGAAUUAUCUAGAUUUCUCUUUAUUUUUCUGCAUUCUCAUCAGCCAAAAACAUUCUAAGGGUUUAUUAAAGCUGGUUUUUCAUAAUUUUUGCACCAAGUGAGUUAAUCCUUUCCUUUUUCUUGUAAUUUUUGUGUUUCUAAGACUUUUACAACUAGGUCCUAUUACUACAUUCAUUAGUUUUUGAUUUUAUGAAUGAAUUUGAAAGUUUCUAUGAAUAUUUUCUGGAAGUUUAUGAUGAAAUAGGAUGAAAUUUAAGCUUUAAUCUGUUUAUGAGAUGAUUUUAUUAGGUAAUUUCAAUAGAAAUUGAUUUGUAGGACCUAAUUGUGAAAAAGUUUGGAAUUAAAGUCUAGUGCUAAAAUUCUGAUUUCCAAAGGUUAUAAAGUAGUUUAAAGUGAUAGAAUAAAGUGUUGAUUGAGAAAAAUCAGCUCAAUUGAGAGGUUAAUUGAGCAGGGAUGAAAUUAACAUUUAUUGAAAGCUUAGGGAAAAAUGGUAAUUAACAUCAUGCACUAAAACAGUUUUGGACAGCAGCAGUAGUCUAACUUUGAAAAAUCACCAAAAAUUUUAUAAAUUUAAUUAGAGGAUGAAUAAAAUAUGAAAUUAAAGCUUAUUGAGUCUAGUUUCUUAUAAAAGAAACUGUGUAAGCAAUGAAAUUGUAAAUCAUGAGAUAUAAUAGAUUUUGUGAGACAAGGUCAGAAUGAAUUCGGGUUCCCCUGUUCUGACUUUGGAAAAUCAUUAAAAAUUGUAAAAAAAUUAUUAUGAGUUAUAAUAUAUAUUCUUAGAAUACUUAAUGAGUCUAUUUUCAAAAAAAAAAACAAGCGAGAACAUCAUCCAAAUUUUUUACAAUGAGAUAAUUAAUUUUUAGUGAAGAGAGGUCGGAACUGUCAAACAGUGAAACAGGGGAAAUUUUAGAGAAUAAACUGUACUUAUUGGCUAAACCAAAAAUUCUGAAAAUUUUAUGGUAAGAAGAUAUGUGAGUCUAGUUUCAGGAAAAAUUAACGGAUCUUAGUUUGGAGUUCCGUAGCUCAAGAUAUAAAUAAUUUAGUGACAUGACUCAGUGAGACAGCUUUGAAUGCACUAUAAAUAAUAAUGAAAUUAUAGAGAAUGUUACAUAUGAACAUGAAAUGUAUUAGAUUAAUGAUUAAAUUUAUUUAUUUAGAUCCAGAAAAUUCAAAUACAAAGAUAGAUCGAGGAAAAGAAAAAGUUCGGGAUUAGUAGAUUUUUGUUUACCAACAAGUAUCGAGGGAAGUUCGUGUAACUUGAAUUAUAUUCUUAAAUGUUUGAAAUGUUUGUUAUUGAUGUGAAAGUGAGUUGAAUGUUUAUUGUAUGAUAAUUGAUGAAGUAUUGAUAUUCUUGAUGAAAAGAGGAAAUAAAUCCCGGUUGAAUGAAGGAAAAAUUUGAUGGAUCUCUGAAAAGGAAUUGACAGUAAAAAGGAUCCAGCCCGGAUGAGUGAUCCUAUCCUGAUAUAGCCCUCCCGAAGAAUAUGUGGAAAAUGGAUUUAGCCCGGACUGGUAAUCCGAAUUAGGGUCUGAAUUUAGCUUGGACUGGUAAUUCAGAUCCAAGCUCAUUAGAGUAAUUGUCGUUGCAGGGGAUUUAGCCUGGACUGGUAAUCUUGACAAUACUCUAUGAGUUUAUAUUACAGGGGAUUUAGCCUGGACUGGUAAUCCCGCUGUAAGGAUGAGGUUCGCGGGAGUGUGCUUUCUGAAAUGGAAAUGUGCUACAUGAAUAUGAAUUGACGGACCUGGAUUUGUACACUUAGGUGUACCCCUAAAAAUCCAUCGAAAUUCCGAGAAGUUCAACGGGAUAAAUAUGGAAAAAUAACAAGGAAAUGGAAAUAAUGAAAUUGAUGAGCUCAUCAAUCAUGAUAUAUAUAUUAUUGAUACAUGAAAAUUAUUGGACUAAUUUGAAUGUUGAGUUUGUGCAUGAUAGGGGAAUAAUGUAUUGAAUGGAUGUAUGAAUGUUUAUUGCAUUGUAUUGAAAAUAUUAAGUAAGUAUAAUUCUUGUUACAUGAGCUUACUAAGCACAAAGUGCUUACCCUGUUUCCUUUUCCCCUAUUUUGUAGUGUUAAGAGCUCAGAGGUCGGAUUUGGUUGGAGACGCAUCACACUAUCAACCUUAAGAUCUCGGUAUAUAAAGAAACUUUAUUUUGGAAAUCAAUGGCAUGUAGAAGCUAGUAAAGUAGAUGUUAAUGUGAAAUGAAUGUAUAGUUAGCCAUUGGUAUGACUAACAGAUUUUGGUUUUGGUAUGUGAUGAGAUUAUCUUAUGAAUAUGAUAAAUCUAUCUUGAAAAUAUAUUGAAAUGGAUUGGUCUCGGUUUAAAAUUUGCAGGGAAGAUUAGAUAUUUAUAAAGGGGUUAUAUUGAGUUUUUUAAAAAAAAUAAUAUUUAUUCGGUAAAAUAUGGUAAUGGCCCAUACUCUAUUUCGGCGACGAAUACGGGUAGGGGGUAUUACAGAUUGUGCUUGUGUGACAGAGGUUCUAGGUUCACAUAUUUUCCCCUUGUAUUUUUUCCAAUUUUGUCUAAACCUUUAGCUUUGGGUAUCUGGCAGGCAUGACCUUGGGGGUUGUCUGGAGGUGCAGCACAUAGGGCCCAAGGCGGAAAGGGGUCCAAAAUAUUAUUUCUCAAUUUUUAAGGGGCCUAAAAAAACUUUUUUUAGCUUUAAAGGGCUCAAAAAUUUUUUAUCAACUUUUAAGGGACCUAAAUUUUUUUCUCUCCAACUUUUAAGGAACCUAAAGCACUAUUUUAUUAUUUUGCCUAGGGCCCCAAAAAUGUCAAGAAUGGGCCUAGUAUCUGGUUUAAGAAAUAUUUGUGUGCAUUUGUUGACAAGAAUGAAUUUGUUAGUCUAAUGGUAAAGUGUUAGUUAACCCUUAGGUCCUAUGUUCGAACCGUUGUGUGCAAAUUCUUGUUUUGAACUUUGGGGAAAAUCUAGUAAGGAUAACUAAUGAAAUUUAGUGGGGUUAUGGGUGGUUUAAUUGAAUUUUUUUAAAAAUGAUUCCCCAAAAACUCUCGCACUUCCUUUCCACGUUCUCACAUUCUUCCCUCCCUCUUUCUCUAUCGUUCCACUUUUAUUAUUUCUGUCAAUUUCUUCUUUCUAUUUGUUUUCCUCUAUUUCUCCCUUUUUUUUUGCCUUCUGUUCUAUUUUGUUUGUUAUAAUAUUAAUGUCAAUUUUUCUUAAGAAUAUUAUUCCAACAAAACAAAAAUAGUUUAUCAAAAUAAGUUUGAAUGGGUUUUUUUUUAAGAAUAAAUCUUCAUUAACAUUUUAACUGAAAUAGUAAAGAGACCAAAUUUUGUUAAAAAAAGUAUAAGAAUUAAAUAUCAAAUUUAUACAUACUAAGGGAUCAAAAACAAAAUAUGGUUGAAGGCUCUCUAUACUUAAAAAUAAACUAUACCAAAUAAAAGUAUUGGGAUUAAAUCUCUUAAGCAUGUUGCACUCACAAGUAGCGAAAGAGAGGAAAAACAAGCUUUCAACUCAAAUGAGAGAAUAUGAUAUUUAUUGAAUUGAUGAAUAAUUUCAAAUGGUUCUAGCCUUUUAUAAGCUUUAUAAUAGCUAAAAUUAGUAACUCAAAGCUAAAAAUAGCAAAGUCGAAUGAGAGAAAAAUCCUCAAUAAUCUCUAAUUUCUAGGGAUUAUUUACCAAAAUAAUCUCAACAAUCCCUCCCUUAAACUGAAAGUACAAUGAACUUUCAGUUUAAUAAAUACUUACUAGCUACUUGAUGUCAAAGACCUAGUAUUUUCCUGAACUUGAUAAAUGAUGCCAACUUGAGAGGCUUAGUAAAUACAUCAUCAACUUAAUUCUCACUUCAGCAAUACUUUAGCUCAAUUGCUCUUUCAUUGCUGAGAUAUGACAGAAAGUAAUAUUUUACAUCAAUAUGCUUGCUUCUUCCAUGCAACACGAGAUUUUUUGACAACUUGAUGGCUGAGUUGUUAUCACAAAAAAAAUAUAGCGGCUUUUUCUGGUUUGAAUUGUAGUUGUUCAAGGAUUCUCCUAAGCCAAAUAGCUUGACAAGCACAAGUUGUAGUGUCAAAAAAUAUGACAAUGGAUUGUUUCUUAGAUGACCAUAAAAUAGCCCCUGUUCCAAGCAUAAAAACAUAACCUAAAAUGAUCAUUCUGUCAUCUUGAUCUCUUGCAUAAUCACUGCCAGUGAAGCCAAUCAUGUUUGACUUUUCACCCUUAUUGUAGAAAAUCCCAAAUCUUUGGUUCCUUAUAAGUAACGAAGUAUUCUCUUAGCAGCUAAUAAAUGUUUUUUGUAACACCUCUUACUCGAGACCGUUGCCGGACUCGAGCACGAGGCAUUACUUAACUUAUCGUACUAAUUCGGAGCAUAAAAAUUUACUUUGCAUAUUAAUUUCACUAUUUACAGCAAAGCUGUCCAAUCGCGUAGCAGUUACUAAAUUAACUAUAACUCAAGCUAAAGAACUCGAAAUUUAACUCCGUAAAUUUUCCCUGAAACUAAAAUCAUAUAUAUAUUUUCCAUAAAAUUUUUAGAAUUUUUGGUUCAGCAAAUUAGUACAUUUUAUUAGUUAAAGUCUCCCUGUUUCACCAUUUGACUGUUCUGACCUCUUGUUACUAAAAAUAAGUUUUCUCAUUAUAGGAUUUUCAUAUUCUAUCCCCACUUGUUCCUACAGAAAAUAGACUCAUUAAGGAAUCUAAUAAUGUAAAUUUCAACUCAUAAACAUUUUUGUACAAUUUUUAAUGAUUUUCUAAACUCAAAACAGGGGACUCUAAAAAACAGUUCUGACCCUAUCUUACUAAAAUUCACAUAUCUUAAAAUAUAAAUUUCCUUUUGCUACACCGUUAUUUUUACAUGAAAAUAGACUCAACAAGAUUUAAUUCCACAUAUCAUUCACCCUCUAAUCCAUUUUAUACCAUCCUAGGUGAUUUUUCAAAGUCACAUCACAGUGCUACCUGAAUUCUGUUUCUUUGCAAAAAUUUAUCCUUUCAUGAUUUCCAUGCAUAAUUUAUCACCUAGACUUUCAUAACAACAAACACCUUCAUACUUAACCCUUUUAAUGAUCAUACAUCAUCAAAUGCUUACACAUCAUUCAUUAGCAAAAUCAUAAUCACAAACAUACAAAAUAACUAAAUCCCUAUACAUGCCAUAACUCAAACGUGUUUCAUCAUAAAAUACCGAGCAAUUGUGGUUGAUAGUGUGGACGAUCUCCGACUUCUUUAGGAUCCUUGAAGUAGCUUGCAAUACUAUACGAGGAAGAGAAAUAAAAGAAGUAAGCAUAAAGCUUAGUAAGUUUACUAGCAAAUAAAUAACAACAUUAAACACAAAUAAUUAAACUCAAGUGUCCAUAUCUCUAGUUUACUUUUUAGUUAAUCUCAUUCUAGUUCUCUUGCUUAUUUACUUGGAAUACUUGUGUACAUAACUUACUCUUCUCUUGCUGCAUCGUUGAAUACCAAUUGAUAAUAUAAUAAGUUUUUAGCUCUUAUAACUUACCUGAGCUUGCCUUUUAUGCUUUAAACUGAACUUUCAUGAACAUGAUUCGUUUAUUAGCCCGUUGAGCUACAUUGGAAUAAUAAGGAUACUCGAGUCUCUUCUGAUAAUAACAUGCCAAAGCCAUGUCCUAGACAUGGUCUUAUAGGGGACCUCUCAUCUCGGUGGACAUGGUCUUACAUGGGACCUCUCAUCUUGGUGCCAAUGCCAUGUCCCAGACAUGGUCUUACAUGAGACCUCUCAUCUCGGUGCCAAUGCCAUGUCCCAGACAUGGUCUUACAUGGGACCUCUUUACCCAAAUGUCAUGACAUUCGUAUCCAGUACCAUCCUUAUGUAUCAACGGGACUUUUUAAUUUUAAUUCUCUAUCAUUUCAUGCUUGGAUCAUCAUCAAAUAAAUUCAUGAAAUAAAUUCAUAGUUUUUGGAAAAUAAUAGCAUUAAUAAUAAAUAUUGAAAUAUUACAUUUAUUUACCGUAAACUUACCUCGGUAUCAAAUAUAGUCCAAUUCAACAACUUAGUCUUCAACUUUAUUCUUCUCUUUGUCUAACCUCGUGUUUCAUUCUUCUUGAUCUAAAAUAGAAAAUUUAACUUAUUUAAUACUCACAUUCAUCAAAACAGCCCUCGACUCUAACUUUUUCAAAAUUACACUUUUUCCCCUAAACUUUUACAUAAUUACAUUUUUCCCCAAGGCUCGGAAAUUAAAAUUUAUCCCUUAUUCUUAUGUUUUAUGACAUGCUGAACAUUUUUACCUUCUAUGACAACAUCAAAUUCCCACUCUAACAUGUACUUAUGAACAUUAGGUAUUUUUACCGAUUAUGUCGUUUUACUCGUUUUCAAUUAAAAUCGCUUAGCAAAAGUUGUUUAACAUAAUUUAUAACUUCAUAUUCUACUAUAAAACAUCAAAAUAAACACUUUUUACCUAUGGGUAUUUUUCCAAAUAAAAACCCUAGGUUAAAUUAUUGCUAAAAUAAGCUAAAUUAAGCUACCGGGAUCUCAAAAACGUAAAGAACAUUGAAAACGGGGCUUGGGAUCACUUACUAUGGAGCUUGGAAGCUUAAAAACCCUAACUAUGGCUUCCCCCCUUGCUGAUUUUGUCCAAAUGAAGAAGAUGAGCAUAAUUUGCCAUCUUUUUCCCUUUUAAUUAUUUUUAUUACUAGAUUACCAAAUUGCCCCUAACUUAAAAAUUUUCUAUUUCACUUAUCUCAUGUCCAUUUUUGUCUACCAAGUUACCAAUGGUCUAAUUACCAUAUAAGGACCUCCAAUUUAAAGUUUCAUAACAAUUGGACACCUCUAACAUGUAGAACUCAACUUUUGCACUUUUUACAAUUUAGUCAUUUUGACUAAAUUGAAUGCCCAAACGUCGAAAUUUUCGAACGAAAUUUUUAUGAAAUCAUUUUGUGAAAUCAUAGACCAUAAAAAUAUAAGAAAAAUAAAAUUUUUCUCAUCGGAUUUGUGGUCCCGAAACCACUGUUCCGAUAACCUUAAAUUUGGGCCAUUACAUUUUUCAACUAGGCUCUCCAUGUACCUGCUAAUAAGACUCAUAAAAUACAUAAUGUUUGGCCUCGUAGUAGUUAGACACAUCAAACUACCUACAAUUUGCUUGUAAAGUAUGUUAUCCAUAUUUUUUAGUAAGUUUUAAGCCAAACUCAUUGCAGUAUUGGAAGAGUUAUAAUUCGUCAACUUGAAUUUGUCCAAAAUCUCUCUGACAUACUUUUUCUCUUCCUUCAAGUAUCCAUGUAAGAAUGUCGACUUAAAAUCUAACUAGAAGAUUGAUGAAGAGUUCUGCGCUACUAAAGCAAUCACCAAUCUGAUGGUGUUAUGUCUUGCAACUAAGGCAAAAACUUUUGUGUAGUCCACACCAUACUCUUGUUUGUACCCCUUAGCUGCUAAUUGCGUAUUGCACUUCUCAACCUCCCUAUUUUCCUUCAACUUUGUCUUGUAGAUCCACUUGACACCAAUGGUUUUGUGCCCCUCAAGAAGAUCAGUCAUCUUCUAAGUAUCAUUCCUUUUAAUGGCUUCGAUUUUAGCAUCCAUUGCCUCUUUCCAUUUUACCUCAUUGGCAACAUUUUCAAAACUUAUUGGGCCACAAUUUGUAAAUAAUACAAAUUGAGAAAUUGCAUUAUCAUUUUCUCUAAUUUUGGUUACGUCAUAAUGUUACAUCCAUGCUAGCCUUCUUCGAACAUGACGAAGUGCUUCAGCUAUUGUACUAGUUUCUUCUUCAUGUGUAAACAAUACUUUAGUGGCUAAUGGAGAAGUAUUCUUGAGCAUUUCUUUAGCUUUAUUAUCACAAAGAACUUAAGUAGGUUGUGCUUCAUCCCAAUCCCAAGUGUUCUCUUCAUGAAACACAACUCUCGACUAAUCACAACAUUCUUUGUCACAGGAUUGAACAAUUUGUAUGCCUUUAAUUUGAUUUUUCAAUAAUACCAAGAAAGACACAUCAACAAGCUUCUUUUAUUUCUCCUCUAAGACAUGUGCUUAGGUAAUGCACUUAAAAAUUUUGAAAUGAUCUACCACUGGUCUCCUUCCACUCUAAGCCUUCUCCGGAGUCACAUCUCGAAGAGCAUUAGUAGGGCUCCUAUUCAAGAUGUAGAUGUUCCAAUUUAUAGCUUUUGACCAGUACACCUUUGAAAUUCUCCUUCUUGCUAGUAGGCUUCGAACCAUGUAGAGAAUGGUUCAAUUUUUCCUCUCUGAUACAUCAUUUUUUGUGGUGUAUAAGCAGUUGUGAGCUCUCUUUGGAUGCUGUAAACAUCACAAGUCUUCAAACUCCUUAGAGGAAUAUUCACCACCACAACUAGUUCAAAGAGCUUGAAUGGUUCUUCUUUUCUUAUUUCCUACACCAGCUUUGAAGCUUUUAAAUGCAUUAAAAGCCUUUGAUUUUUCUUGUAAAGGUAAACCCAUGUCUUACAAGAAUAAUAAUCAAUAAAGGUAAUAAAAUUCCAUUAGAAAUUGGAUUUAUUGGCCCACAAAUGUCUGAAUACACCAACUCCAAUACCUCUUUUGCUUUUCAUGACUUACCUUUGGGAAAUUGAGAUUGAUGUGGUUUACUAGCAACAAAUUCUUCACAAACUAGGGAAGGAAAAAUAAUUGGAGGAAGACUAGUCACCAUAUUUUUAUUUUUAAGUAUCUUCAAACCACCAAAGUUUAAAUGACCAUAGCAAAAAUACCACAACCAAGAAGGAUAUUUAACUUUUGCUAUUAAACAAGAUUGAGCAACCUCAAUCUUCAAUGGAAACAACCUAUUUUGACUUAUUUCCAUAAUAGCAACAACUGUUCUAGAUGGAUCAGAAAUCUCACAAGCACCAUUCCUGAAAUUAUCAACAUACCCUUUUUCCAACAGUGGCAUCAAAGCCAAGCUUGUUAUUGUUAGCUUGGAAAAGCUUUCACCUAUGACCUUGGAAAGUAGUCUUGUUCAAGUAGUUAUUCCUUGUUUUGAUGAUCACUAUGACCAUUGGAGUAUGCUAAUGGAGAAUUUCCUAUGGUCAAAGAAGUAUUGGCCAAUGGUUAGGGCAGGUAUCAAAGAGUCUGCAGAAGGAGAAACUUUGACGAAUGCCCAGAAAGUAAGGUUCGAAGCAAGAAAGCUGAAAGAUUUGAAGGUGAAAAAUCAUCUCUUUCAAGCUAUUGAUUGUCUCAUCUUGAAAACUGUUCUUUGCAAAAAAAAAACUUCCAAGGAUAUAUGAGAUUCCAUGAAGAAAAAGUAUCAAGGCUCUGCCAGAGUGAAGUAAUGACAUCUUCAAGCCUUGAGGAGGGACUUCGAGACUCUAUAGAUAAAGGAAAGGGAAUCUAUCACUGGCAAUUAUGUUAGAACCAUGGAGAUUUGUAAUAGGAUGCAAUUCUAUGAUGAGAAGAUGGAGGGUGCCACCAUAGUGGAGAAGAUUUUGCGCUCCAUGAUGCCGAAGUUUGAUCAUGUUGUUUGCAUCAUUGAAGAGUCAAAAGACAUAGAUGAAUUGUCUCUUGAUGAGUUGCAAAACUCUUUAUUUGUGCAUGAGCAGAAGAUGAAUUGUACUUUAGCCUUCAAGGAAUAAACUUUGAAGGCUUUUACUUUUUUUUUCAAUUUUAGAGGAAUGGGUAAAGGUAGAGGUAUAUAUUGGGAAAUGUGCCUAUAGUUUAGUAAACAUGUAACUAUUUUCUAUUUAUUUAAACGGUGAAUUAAUAAAUAAAAUUAAUUUCACAUUUCACUAUUAUGUCUUUUGUAUUUUCUGUCUUUUAUAUUUACAAUACAUAGCAAAAUUGUGACAAGCAAAUAUUAGCUCAUUGAUUGUCUAAAGUUCAAACUGAAGAUAAGUGACAUUGUAAAGAACAUUUACAUUGUGGGAAAGACAACUUAUUUUAGUAGAUAAUCUAAAUGAGUCCGUAAUCUCGUAAAAGAAUCAAAGUGAGCAUUUGAUUCAAAUAGUGAGAAGGAUUAUCAUGUCAUCUACAAUUCUAAUUAGGGAGAUGGCUAGUCUUGGCUAUCGGAGUAGUUGACUCUAUUAGUAGAGAAAUAUAUGUAUUCAUUGGUAGAAUGAUACAUUGGAUUGGACCCAAUAUGAAUUAAUUCACUUUUGACGUUCAUGGUGUGGUUUAUCCAAAUAUUGAGUUAGUCACUGACCAUGCGUAUGCAACCCAUGUGCUUUGAUAUAAGUGGAGGCUUAUGCUCUAAAGAUGAUCGAGCCCAUAGUCGGUAUGUUGGGUACAUAACUUGUGUAUGGCAUGAUUUUACUAGCAACAAUGGAAUUCAUAGCUCAAUUAAAGAGUUAAUGAUAUCCUCUCAUUGGUAUUGUGUGGAUUGAUAAAUAUAGAACGUGGCCACGGGUUGCUUGUUCUUGAAAGAGUAAUUUAUCACAGUCAUUUGUUGACAGUGAUCGUAUUAAUCAUUAAGGAGACACAAUAGUGAUAAUGAGAUAAAAUAAGAUUGUAUUGAGUGAACGGAUUUAAGUCAAAGGAAUCAAGGAUAUCAUAUGAGGGUAACACACACAUGAUGAGGUCAUUGGACAAAGCAGUUGGGUGAAUUGCUUUCUUAAAGAGUAUACAAUAAUGAGUUUUCAAUCAUGGCACUUCUUAUGGACUGACUCUUGAUUAAGUAAUUGCGAAUUAUUGUAAUGAUGCUUUUAGACAUAAUUACAAUCACUAGAGCCUAAUUGUAUAUGUUCAAUUAGUCCAUCCGUUAGCUCAACAAAAGCUUGAUCGUACUGCAUUUGAAUCAGAAGAAAAUUCUACGACUUUGGAAAUAAUUUAAUUGAGUCAAUUUAUUCGAUAUGGAAUUAAAUUAGGUAGUCGCGAGAAUUGUUUAACUAGAGAAUUUGGUUAAAUAAUUUUCUUAAAAAAUUAAUUUGGAAAAUCUAAGUGAUUUUUAGGAAAAUUAAUUUUGAUCAAGUAAAAUUAAAUUGAUCAAAUUAAUUAAAAUUAAUAUAAUAUUUUUGGAAAUUAAUUUUCAAGUAAGACAAUUGGUCCAAUGGGUAAUUGAACUUUAAAAUUGGACCUGAGAUCAUAAGCGUGAGAGCCCAAAACCAAGACUAAGACCCAAAAACUGGUCGAAUCGGGCUCGGUAUGUGAAACCGGGUCGACGGUCCAAUUGGUGACUAGAUUGAAUUGGUCGGGUUGUCAUUGACCCGGACCAAACCGGCUCAGGGUGCCGUAAGGGUGUCGCACCUGCAUCACUGGACAUAUCGGUGUUGGUGGCUGCGACGACGGCGUCCUGGUGACUGCUGGAGGUUGGUCAUCGGUGAUUGAGUUGUGGAAGAGUUACACUCCUACUGGGACUCUACCAGAGAAUUUAAUUUCAAAUUAACUACUUAAAAAAUAAUAUUAUUUUAAUAGUUUAACAUUAAAUUUAAUUUAAUAAUUAUCUUAAUAGUAUUUUAUUAAUUUAAUAUUAAAAUGAUUAUGCUAAUAUUAAAUUUAAUUUAAUGUUUAUCUUGUAGAUAAAUAUUCUAUUAUUUUAAUAAGAUUUAAUAUUAAAUUUAAUCUAAUAUUUAUCCUGGUAAUUAUUAUAUUAUAUUAAUUUAAUAUCAAAGUGAUUAAGUUUAAUCAUAGUUGAACUCUCUAAACUCUCCCUAUAUAAAGAGAUCAUUGAGUCAUUAUUUACACACCCUUGAGUUCAAGAGAAAGUUGUAGAGAGAAUUUUCUGAAGAGAUUAUUUAAAAAUAUUUCUAGAGAUAUUUUUUUGAUUUAUAACUUGACCCAAAAGUUUAGAGAGAUUGUAAAAUUACCCCACUGGUAAUUUUUGUGAAAAAUUUUCUAAUUCGAAGCGAGCUCACACUUGGCAAACGUGAGCUUGAAGAUUGCGGAGAAGACUACUCGGUCGAAGCGCUAAUCUUAGACGAAUAAAAAUAAAUAGUUUUGAUUAAGUGUUUAUUAUUUUAGAUAUCAUAACCUAAAUUUAUUUUCGUCUGCGUUUUCUCAACCUAUUUUUCCAACAAUAUAAGGAGAAGUUUGAGGUAAUAUAAAUGGUGGCAACAGAAAUGGUAGCAAGAAUUACGAAAUCAAUGAGGACCAAAGUAAGGAUAAAUGACGAGGUUUUGAUAAAUCUAAAAUAAAAUGCUUCAUGAGGUAAAAAUUUGGUCAUUAUCAUUUUGAAUGUUAUUCUAGGCUACUAAAUGAUAAGGAUGAAGAAUCACAUUGAAAAGGAAGCUGAGCCAAAUGUAUAAUAUGUGGAUAUAGGUUGUAGUAUUUUUUUCGUAUUUAAAUGAUAAUUUUCGUUGUAGAAUCACCUUUGGUGAUUAUUGUACUGUGGAUUUCAUAAUUAAAAUUGCACGUGAAAUUUGACGUUUCCUAAAAACCUUAAUUGUUUUUGAAGACUUUUGUUACUAUACCCCGAUCCUUAUAAGAUCCAUCACCGUGAAAUGACAAAAAGUAAUUCAAUGCACAUUAAUUGUGCCAGCGGCUCCAAGCCCAUUGAUUUCACUAUACAUUCCAUGCUUUUAGGUUAACCAUCUUCACACAAUCAAAUCAAGCUAGUUAGCAAUGGCUUCCACUACCAAUUCCCCAUCAACCCUCCUCACCCUUCCUAAUUUCUCCAUUCAAACUUCAACAUUCCUUCCCAAAACAUCUCAACGUUCCAUAUUUAAGAAGAAAAAGCCUUUCAACUUUAACUCCAAAAGAGUAGUGUCAUGCAAAGCCAGCAAUGGGAAACAAAACGAUGCAGAUCACACUUCUUUUCUCAAUAGGUUCGAUAGAAGGGACAUCCUUCUUGGCCUUGGAGGAAGUCUCUACGGUGCAACCAGCCUUGUUAGAGACCCAUUUGCAUUGGCAGGCGACGCAAUCAAGCCUGACCUGUCCAGCUGUGGGGAAUCAACCGUAGAUACCGGUAAAAACUGCCUGAAUGUCCCUUGCUGCCCACCAAAGUUAAAAGGUUCGAAGAUCAUAGACUUCGAACCACCUUUAGGUUGCAAGAUCCGUUAUCGGCCGGCAGCACAUUUAGUUGAUCGUGAUUACCUGUAUAAAUUUGAAUCGGCAAUGGAGAGAAUGAAAGCUCUCCCUGUGGAUGAUCCACGUAAUUUCAUGCAACAAGCCAAUAUUCAUUGUGCCAAUUGCAAUGGGGCUUAUAGUCAAGUGGGGUUCCCCGAUCAAAAACUUGAAGUUCACUACUCGUGGCUUUUUUUCCCAUUCCAUAGGAUGUAUCUGUAUUUCUUCGAGAGGAUAUUGGGCAAGUUGAUUGAUGAUCCAGAUUUCGCAAUGCCAUUUUGGAACUGGGAUUCUCCCUGUGGGAUGACUAUGCCUCAGAUAUAUUUAGACCCUUACUCUCCAUUGUACGAUGAAAACCGCAAUUUGAAGCAUCAGCCGGACGUUUUGGUUAAUCUUAAUGACGGUAAACCUGUUGUAAAAAAAAAAAAAUGAAAAAGAAGAAGAAGAAGAAGAAGAAGAUAGUUUUGAUAAAUUAACAAAGAGGAAACAAAUAAAGAGUAAUCUCUAUGUGAUGUAUCAGCAAAUGGUACGGUCCGCCAAGACCGCUUCUUGUUUCCAUGGAGCGGCGUACCUUGGCGGUUGUGAAUCGGAAACCGAUAUCAGUUGUACUCCCGAACCGAGAGGUGGUACCAUUGAGAACGGUGCUCACAUCGCCGUUCACAAGUUCGUUGGUGCCGAGAAUCCACCUUAUAACGAAGACAUGGGGAGUUUCUAUUCUGCUGGUAGAGACCCUUUGUUCUACGCUCAUCAUGGCAAUGUUGAUCGAAUGUGGAACAUUUGGAAGACAUUGCCAGGGAAGAAGCGACGUGAUUUCGACGAAGAUGUUUGGCUCAAUUCUUCGUUUCUUUUCUACGAUGAGAAUGCAAAUAUGGUUCGCGUUAAAGUUCGCGAUUGCCUUGACUCUAAAACUUUGGGGUACGAUUACCAAAGUGUUGAUAUUCCAUGGCUUAGAAGCAAGCCAACACCUCGAAGGAGUCGUCCUGGUGUGGGAAGGGAUCAGGAUCAGGGUCAGGAUGUAGCAGCCAGACGAAAGAGUAAAAACUUCAGGCGUUUUCCAAUAGUUUUAGACAAGGUGGCCGUACGCAUUGAGAUUCCAAGGCCAAAUAAGGAACUAAGAAUAAAGAAAAAAGAUGAAGAAGAAGUAUUGGUUCUUCAAAACAUACAGCUAGACAGAAAUGACUCAGUGCAUUUCGAUGUCUCCAUUAAUGACGAUGAAGACGACGACAACCCUUGCAAACCGGAAGAUGCGCAGUUCGUGGGGAGCUUUUCGAGUUUACCGCGCGGAGAUAGUUGCCACUCCGAGGCGAUGCUUAGUACAAAUCUGUAUUUGGCAUUAUCAGAUGCGCUGGAGGCUUUGAAGAUUCAAUUUGAAGAUACCAUUGUGGUGACUUUGGUGCCUAAAGAAGGGGAAGUUUCGAUUGGUAACAUUAAGAUCGACUACGUUUGUUGAUUUGGGGGUGAAUAUUUUGCUUCAUCCUUUGUGUUCUCGCUAGAUCGGAUUGAUGGGGUUCAUCAAUUUGUUUCUCGCAUGUGUCUUUUUUUUUUUUUAAUAAAAAUAUCAAGCUAAAUGAACAAAAGCAGCGGCAGCUUUAUCUUGCUCAAGAAGAUAAUCAACUCCCUAAAGGCGCCUGAUAUUUUCUGCAUAUCAUCAAUUCAAACAGGAGAUAUUUUAGUUAACCGAGUAACCACUUGAUUUCUUUAACUAUCCAAGACUUCUUGCACUGUAAAUAGCUCUGAAUGCUUCCAAGUAAUCUGUCUAAAUUAAAGCUUUGACAUAUAUAACAAGAGUAACUCGUCCGAGAUACUCUAGAAUUCAACAUUAAAGACUGAAUAAAUAUCUAAAUUAUGAUUGAACCCGACAAUUUAAUCUUGCCAAUUUUUAUUAUUAAAUUUUACCAUUUACUUUUUGUAUUAUUUAUAAAUUUUAAGUCCAGCUUUAUAAAAAAAUAUCAUUUUAGUUCUUCAUUUAAUUUUAUCUCUUUUUAACCCUUAAACUUAUGUUGUUUGUCAAAUUGUCUCAAAAUAAAUAAAAUAAAUUAAUAUCUAUUAACUUACUCUAGAAUUCAACAUUAAAGACUGAAUAAAUAUCUAAAUUAUGAUUGAACCCGACAAUUUAAUCUUGCCAAUUUUUAUUAUUAAAUUUUACCAUUUACUUUUUGUAUUAUUUAUAAAUUUUAAGUCCAGCUUUAUAAAAAAAUAUCAUUUUAGUUCUUCAUUUAAUUUUAUCUCUUUUUAACCCUUAAACUUAUGUUGUUUGUCAAAUUGUCCCAAAAUAAAUAAAAUAAAUUAAUAUCUAUUAACUUUGUUGACACAUCCACGUGUAUGCCACAUCAACAUUUACUUAAUUCUUUUUACAAAAUUAAAAAAAUUCUGAAACAUUAAAAAAGCUUUAAAAUUAUAAAAAAUUUAAAAAUUAUAAGUUUUAUUUAAUAAUAAAAUUAUAAUAAUAUUCUAUACAUUUUAGAAUUUUUAAAAAUUUUAAUCAGUUAUUAACGUGACAUACACGUGGAAUGCCACAUAAACAAAAUUAUUAAGCGUUAAUUUUUCUAUUCAUUAUAAAGUGCUUUGACAAAAAAACGCUAGUUUAACGGUUAAAAGUGGCGAAGAUUAUAUGAAGGGUUAAAAUGAUUUUUUUUAUAAAAUUGAAGGACUAAAUAAGUCAUUAUGCCUAAAUUUUAUCAUAUUUAUAAAUAAAAUUUUAAUUUUACUAAAAUAUUUGAUUAAAUAUAUUUACUUUAUAAAAAAAUUGUCAUACUUUUAUAAGAAUUUCGAGUCAAUUAAAAUACUUUUAUUAAAUGAAUUUAUAUAAUAAUAAAUAAAUUUAAAUUUUAUAUUGAAUUAAUUUAUAUUAAAUUAUUAUGUUUUCAUUAACCCAAAAAAGUUAUAUUACUUAUUUUUAAAUGAAUUUUUUAAUUAUUUAUAUGAUAGGUAGCUUUAUAUUUUACAUGCAAUAUUUUAUAAAGAAUACAUUUAUAUAAUCUAAUCUAAUAGAUUAUAAUUAUAUGAAGGCUUGAUUCGCAAAUUGGUACCUAAGUUAUGUUAUUUUUUCCAUCUUGGUAUCUAAACUUUUUUUUUUUUGUUAUCAGUCAUCCUUAAGCUAUUUUUUCCCCAAAUUGGUAUAUCUGUUAGUUAACCCAUUAAGUCUAUUUAAAAAAAAAGUUCAACCCACAAAUUAGUACCUCAGCAGUACUCUUUUUCUCAAAUUGGUACCUAAUUUUUUUAUCAUAAGUGAUACCUAAACUAUUCUUCCAUCACCAUUUUACACCAAAAUAUUAUAUUCGUUAAAAAAAUUACAACCAAUUAUAGAUUGUCACUUCAUAUAAACUUUUAAUUUUUUUAACUUUUAUUUAUUUAUUUUACAUUAAUUCUGUCUUUAUAUAUUUUAUUUAUUUAUUUUUCUUCCUUUAUAAUGCCUAGUAAUACCAACAAUACUUAAAAUUGAUUCGCUCGAGGUUGAGACACCGGUGAUUAAUUCUGUUUUGAAAUUUCACCAUGUUGAUUAAACCUUAUAUGAAUUAUAUUUAAUUUGAGUUGGAAUCACAAUAAAUAAUUAUAUAUAUUUAUGCAAGAAAUUAAGAAUUUUAUAUAGUUCAUGAAUAAUAUAUAAUUCAUAUAAGGCUUAAUCCAACAUUCACCCUUCGGCAUUUCCGGCAUACCAACAUCUACACCAUAUCAUCAGUGGGCAGCCCAAUCACUGACUUCUGUCGACGAACAGGCUUACACUCCGCUGCAAACAAUCCCAUCCACUCCAAGCGGCCAUAAAUCAACCCCAACAAUCGCCCCACACCAUCCUUGAACACCCCACUCCAUCCCCCAAGCCUUUCUUCACUCUGAAUACAAUACAUAAAAUAAAAAUGAAGAGACGACUCUCCCAUCUGCAAGGAAAGGAUGUUGCCCCCUUUCAACCAACCAUUCUCAAACCAUGGUUCAUGCCACCAACCAAGCUCACUUACCACCAAUAAUGGCUCUAAUCCAACAAACAGAUCGCAUUUUGCAAAGGAAAAUGAUCUCUUCAGCAAUCCACUCUUUUCCAUUAAGUAUUAAUUCAUUCCUAGCUAGCCACAAUGACCAUAACAUAGCGCCACAAGCAACAAGCCACUUCCUCUUAACAUUCGAUCUUCCAAACAUGCAGCAACGUACACAAAAUCACUGACAUUCCAAGGAAUCACCCACAUAACACCCCACCAUUGAAAAACAGUCCCUAAGCUUUCCAAGAGGAAGAACGAAAGAAAAAAAUUAUCACAAUUCUCUUCAGCAUCAUUGCACCAAGAACAAUUAACACAACCAUUAACUGUUGGAAAUACCUCGAUCCCUUAAAAAUGCAUUUUGAAGGUAUACCAUUUUGGAGUAACAGCCAUAGGAAGCAUUGCACCUUUGUUGGAACGCAUAGCUUCCAAAUGAAAGAAAACCACACCUUUUGAUGCGCCAAAGAACCUCACAAUCAAGAGAAAACACAACUUUCUUCACAGUACAUUUCCCUUUGCUGUCCACCUCCCACAUCAACUGAUCUGCCUUGUUCUCAUUUAAAGAGACCCAUUUGAAAAUCUGCCACAACUCCAUCGCAGACCCCCUCUCCUGUUCAAACAAAUCUCUUUUGAAAAAUCUUUCAUCCUUGUGAAGACCAUCCCAAGCCUCGUCCACCGUGAUAUUUUUCUUCAAAGCCAAGAAGAAAGUCUGGGGAAUCUGUCUUUCAAAGCACACAGUCCAACCCAAUGAUCCAUCCAAAAUGAAACUGAUCUCCCACUGCCGAGGCGCCAUAUAAAGCUUCCUUCACCUAACAUUUUGUCCAUCCCUUCGUGUCUUCUAACUUCCACAACAUUGGGAAUUCACCACAUUGGGCCUCCAACGAUAGUUGCUAAUACCAUAUUUUUCGUCCCUAUUAUUGAUGUGGUGAUUGUCAAUUUAAUUCUUACACAUUAAAAGUACAUAAAAAUAUUUUUAAAAAAUUAAAAAUUAAAAAUUAAAAAUUAAAUUUUUUUCUUAUUUCCAAUAAAAAAUUGUAAAAGGUUUACUAAAAAUUAUGAAAUGCAUUAUUUAAAAUUUAAAAUUAAAUAAAAAAUUCAAAAAAAUAUAAAUUAUUUCAAAAAUUCAAAAAAAAAAAGUAAUAAAGUCUAGAGUUAUCCAUAAAUUGGUUUGGACAAAGGUUUUAUGUCUCAAGCUGAGACCAAACCAAAAUAGAAUUUAAGUAAUCUAAAUAUUUUUAAAUUUAAAUUUAUUACAAAAAUUAAUAUAAAAUAUAUGUUUAAUAUUUUAUUAUUUUAAACAAUAAAACAAGUUUUUUUAGACGAGCUAAACCAAAAAAAAGCUUAACUGCAAGACCUGACCAGGCCUAAUAAGAAGCUUCAAUCUUCUAUGGAUGACGACUCAACGGUUAGUAUUAUUGUGAAGGAUAUUAAGGCAAAAAGCAAUAGGUCUGAGAACUUAACUUUUCGAUUUGUACCGUGUCGAUUUAACAACUCCGCACAUGUGCUCGUUAGUAUAGGCUAGUCAUAUUCUUGUUCCACGGACUAGAUGGAGGAAACCUCGGUGGCUGUCGAAAACGCUGCGUGUUAAUAUCUAUGGUGAGUUUUCAAUAAAUUGAACAAGAACUAUAUUGAAUAUGAAGAGAAUGUAUUAAACAAGAAAGAACUCUUUUGUAUUUAGACUAUUAGCUUGAUAUGUAUAUUGCAAUCAUGGUAUUUAUAGAACAUAUGAUUAUCUGUUACUACUUAACAACUUAACUAUUUUGAAUAACAAACUAACAGUUAGGCUAGAUGAAUAACACUCUUAACAUUCACCUAUCUUCUCGACAGGUAAAACUCGGAGAAGAUCUCGAAAUCUAGCAAAAGACGAUAUAAAGAGUGGCUUGGUAAGAAUAUCAACAACCUGUUCACAGGCAGGAACGUCACCAACAAUAAUAGAUCCAUCUGCUACUUUCUCACGAACGAAAAAUAGAUCGAGCUCAAUAUGUUUGAAUUUCGAAUGUAAGACAGGAUUAGCAGCUACAACAACAACACUAGAAUUGUCACACCAAAUGGUAGGGGGAUCAAUAUUGUGAAGAUGUAACUCUUUUAGUAACGAAACUAACCAAGUAACAUCACUGGUAGCUGCAGUAAGACUCCGAUAUUCAGCCUCAGUCGUAGACCAUGAAACUGCCUAUUGUUUCUUGAAACACCAUGAGAUAGGUGUGUAACCAAAAUACACACAAAUAUCACAGGAUUCGUUUUGAAACAACCAUAUAAACAGUAGCGGGCGCAUGCAUGAACUGGCAAACACAAUUCACAGCAUUAGCAAUAUCAGGACGAGUCAAGACCACAUACUGUAAAGUACUUAGAAGACUUUUGUACUCAGUAGGGUCAUCAAGACAAUCUCCGUCAUUCUUGGACAAAGUAGACUAGCUAAUCAUUGGAGUAUGAACACUUUUUGCAUGAGUCAUAAAACUCCUAUCAAGUAAAUCGUGAAUGCACUUCCUCUGACAAAGAUGAAGGCACCCUGUGGAGGAACGAGUGACCUCAAUCCCUAAAAAAUAGUGUAGAUCUCUCAUAUCUUUAAGUGAGAAUUUGUCAUUUAACUGCUUAACAAAGCUAUUUAUACAAUCAGACAUACUGCCAGUAAUGAUAAUGUCAUCCACGUAGACAAGCACAUAAAGGAUGGAGUUAGUCGUAACUUUAACAAACAAAGAUGCAUUAGAUUUGGACAUAGUAAAGCCAACAGAAAGAAGAUAACACUUCAGUUUAUCAAACCAAGCACGCGGAGCUUGACGAAGCCCAUAUAAAGCUUUCUUCAGACGACAGACUAAAGGCCUGCCAGUUGAGCCAUAUUGAACAUACCCUGGAGGUUGUUGUAUGAAUACCUCGUCAACAAGAUCACCAUUCAAAAAUGCAUUAUUCACAUCUACCUGACGGAGUUGCCAUCACUAGAAACAACAACAGAUAAAAUGACACGAGUAGUAGCAGGUUUUAUCACGGACUGAACGUUUCUUUGAAAUCAUACCCAGGCACUUGAGAACACCCUUUAGCUACUAAGCGAGCCUUUCGACGGCCAAUUGUACCAUAAUGAUUUUUCUUAACUUUGAAAAACCAUUUACAUCCAAUUGCCUUAUGAUUAGAUGGUAAUUGAACAAGAUCGCAGGUGAAAUUAUUGAUGAGAGCAUCAUAUUCUGCCUGAGCCGCAGCUCGCCAUUCUAUGGUGGAAAGGCUUCUUCAACCAUGAGGUCUAAGAACUUCAACUGACAAUGCCUUAGGCUUAAAAAUGUCAGCCUUAGACCGAAUAACCAUCGGAUGAGUAUUUGCUGGAGGCAAAGAUGAUGACGAUGGAGAGAAAGAAGUAUUAGCAAUAGGUACAACAGCAGACGGAGUAUCAGCAUUAUUGUGUAAAGAAUGUGGCUUAUCUACCUCAACCUGAGGAUUGGUAGAGACAGAUGGCGAAAGGAAAAAACCAAGAGGUGAAGAUGAUACACGUGGUAGAACAGAUGAAGACUCCAAAUGCUGAGAAGGAACGUUGACUUAGUACCAGACGAAGCCAUGAAAUCCCUUGUAGCAGGUAAAGGAGCCAAGAACCUUUGUUCAUUAAACAUAACAUGACGAGAAAUAACAACCGUACCAUCCAGCAUAAGACAUUGAUAACCUUUGUGUUGGGAGCGAUAUCCCAAGAAUGUACAAGAUUGAGAAUGAAAAUCCAACUUAUGAGACAAAAAUGGUCGUAAGUACAGAAAACAACAACACCCAAAUACUGUCGAUGAUCAUACGUGGGAUCUUGUCCAUAAAGAGCCUUAUAAGGAGUCUGGCCAUGCAGAACUGAGGUAGGGAGACGAUUGAUGAGAUGAACAGCACAACAAAAUGCACAACGCUAAUAUUUCAUAGAAAGAUUCGCUUGAGCCAAAAGUGUAAUACCCAUUUCAACAAUAUGCGGAUGUUUGCGUUCAGCCGCCUCAUUCUGUUCAAAACUAUGUGGACAAGACAACCGAUGAACUAUCCCUUAAGUUGUUAGAAUAGACGUGAAAGUGCGAAAUUCGCCACCCCAAUCACUCUAAAAUUGUUUGGUAUUUUUCCCGUAUUGAGUUUUGACAAGCUGCUGAAACUGAGCAAAACAAUCGACUGCUUGAGACUUUUGGCGAAUAAGAUAAAUCCACGUAAAUCGAGUGCACAUCUCAACAAAGGACACAUAAUACCAAUUAUGACCACAUGCAACUGAUGCAGGCCCCCAUAGAUUAGAAACAACCAAAGCAAACGGUUCACUAUAGCUUCAUCCAGUCUGAGAGGUUGACUGGUUUCAAAAUAGGAACAGCUAUUCCGUGUCCACUAAAGUAGAAGAACAGGACAUCUCCUGGUCUAGCAGUGUGUACCAUUUCAUAAAGUGCAGCCUUGAUUUUUAUACCCGUAGGCAUAGCCAAUGAGUCUGGUAUAUAAUUGUCAAUCAAAGUUAAACCUUCUCAUAAUCAACCUUCUUAUGUUCUCCACAUCAUUUAUGCAUCCUUUCAGGUUGUAAGGGGUCUUUGGGUAAUUACAACCCACAAGAACAGCUUUCUUUUUAUGCACCAGCUUGUUAAUCAUGGGUAAGGCUAAGGGUGUUGGAAUGGUGGCCAGGAAAGCUGUACCGACAUUCUUAUCACUGCAAUAAAGGCAUAAGGGUGUUGCUCGUGAAAUCCAAGGCUGGUUAUUUCAUCCCUAGCAUUCAUCACAAGCUGUUUAUUAGUUAAUGUACCAUUGGUCUCGUUGAUAAUCUUUUGAAGUGAAUAUAUAAGGCCCCAUACGCCUUUCCUUGGGUUUUGUCACUCGGUUCCAAAUCAAGGGAUAGCUCAUCGGCUUGGCACCCACUCAAUAGAAUCCCCUCAUCCUCCGUUAAUGACCUUGGCUCCUGAGAGGGUUGGAAUUUUAAACUGACGUUGUCUCGAAAGAUUCCGGUCAAAAGAUGGCCAAUGUUGCUGACAAUAUCUAAUCCAGU
This 84918-nucleotide long non-coding RNA is filed under the name Gossypium barbadense (sea-island cotton). Its description in RNAcentral is "long non-coding RNA (GBAR_LNC017417)". Lineage: Eukaryota; Viridiplantae; Streptophyta; Magnoliopsida; Malvales; Malvaceae. The record is from RNAcentral.